This 67230-nucleotide long non-coding RNA is filed under the name Brassica napus (rape). Its description in RNAcentral is "long non-coding RNA (BNAP_LNC008836)". The stretch from base 35471 to 35574 matches the Rfam family "MIR391 microRNA precursor family". Lineage: Eukaryota; Viridiplantae; Streptophyta; Magnoliopsida; Brassicales; Brassicaceae. The record is from RNAcentral.
CGGUCCCGCUGUCCUCCCGAAGUCGAUAUUCCCCUCGGGACCUCAGUAGAACACAGAUCACCGGCCAAGGCUCCACGGGAUACCUCCUCGGUGACUCGACUCUCCCGUCUCCGUCGGCGGAGGGCGAUGGUCUCAUUCUCAUCAUCCUCCGAGGUCCCAACCUCAGGGAUAGCUUCAGGAACUAGAGCCUGAAGUUCCUCUUCGCAGACCGAGGAUGAGCGGGGCAUAGCCAAUUCUUUCUUCUUCAUCUUUUUCUUCUUAGGAGCGUCCUCGGCGGGCAAAUCCCCGGCUUUCCGUUUCUUCCCCCCUUUUUUAGAGGAACCGUCUGCCCCAGCUUGCCCCGGCUCAGAAGAUUCCUUCGGACCCUCGGCCUUUUUCUUGCUCUUCUUCAAGGAGCCACCAGUACGCGUUUGCUCAGCAGCAAUUGGGGUCGCCUCUACCGCUUCCAACCCCGAAAGGCCAACCCUGCUCCCGGAAGCGCCUCGCUUGGCGCCUAUCUUUUCAGCUACAAUAAGACUAAGGUCGGGCAAUUGCUUCAUUGUCUUGGCUCGGUUGAUCUCUUUCUGCUCAGCUCGAGUAAAGAGGGAUAAUCUCUUCGAAGUCGAUUGAUUGACGAGGGGAAGCAAGUUUGAGAUCCAACGUUCUGCAAAGAAAAAUUCUUACUACGCGAUAUUCACUUGCUAGGAAAAGCAGAAGGGAAACAAAAAAAAAACUCACGACUAGCAAUCUGAUCUAUGGAUCUUUGAAUUCUCUCCCGAGUAAAGCCCUCCCAGUGAUCUUGCUUCUGCAACGCGACGAUCCGAGCACUCUCCUUCCAAUCCUCGGGAUAAGUGGCGAGAUUCGGAUGACCAACUACAAAAGGAAAAGAGACGCGUUAGACGAGCACAUGCUACAAUUGUCACAUAAGAUACUGCGCAGUACCCAUCUCUGCAUUCCAGAGAACGCGAUAACCAGACUUCGGAGGCUCCUCGAACGCUGAUCUGUUCGACUUCACAUAGAAAUACGAACGCUGCCAGUCUGAGGUUUUGGUCGGGUAUCCCGUGACCACGUUAUAAUUUGGGCGCAUCCUCGUCGAGACGAGCCCAUCAUCGGAAAUUGAGACUGAAGUCAACUCCUCAAACGACCUCACACUCAUCGAUGUCCCUGCCUCAGCCGCGAUCACCGAUAGAACGACCAUUAACCGGAGAGAACCGUUCAUCAACUGGCUUAAGGCAACUCCUCUGCGGAACGCAUAAGCCGUGACAAUUCGGGGAAUUGGGAACCACAACUUCGUGUCGCUCCGAAAAUACGACUCGUAAAUGCAUUGAUAUCCCUUCGGAGGCGACCAAGGCCUCUGAUCCCGUUUUGGAACGAUGAACGAGACCCCGUGUGCAUUGAGAUCUCGGAGGAUAGCUUCCACCGACUCCACGGUAGACUUCGUCCUCUCGACGUUGGACCAAUCCUGUCCAUCGACGACCGAAGGUCGAAUUCUCCAAACCUCCAGGGGGCUCUCUUCAGCGAAGAUGUUCCCAGGGUAGUAGCUGAUCGGGACAAUCGAGGCGUCGACCGCUUCUUGACCGUCGUCGUCACCCCGGAACUGUUCUCUCGCUUCCAAGACCAAGAGACGCUGCGAUAAAUCCAUAUUCCCCGUAUCCAUCAUCGCUUCGUGAUGGACAUCGUCAGAGUCCCGAGAAGAAACCGCCCCCUUUCCCUUUUGUUCUCGCGUCAAACGAUGAGAUGACGACAUCUCGGAUAUUCGCAGAUCUAAAAACAGAGAUAAAGAGAGAGAAAGGAGCGUAGAGAGAGAAAGUACCUUUAGCGCUGCGGAGGAAAAUGAAAAGAAGUGGAGAGGGGGUCGCUAUUUAUAGAGAGAGAUAAGCGCGGGGAUCAAAGCGUCAUCAUUACGCCUAAUAAGGCCUAAGUGGGCCUAAACCCAAUUAGGCGCGUGAUCAACAGAUGCGCCGGUCCGUAUUCUCGACCCGUAAGCGUUUAUCUCACGAUCGCAACGCGUGAGAAACGGACGCAUCAAUCCAACUCUGUUAGAAACUGUUUUGGUUAAUGAGCCAGAACUGUGUGUGGUUAUGAAUCGGAAUAAUAAGUAUUUGUGGGAUUUGGGAAAGAGAUUGGGUGUUCUUGGAAUGUAUUGGAGAGAAAAUGUUAAACAACAUAUGAUGUGGCGAUUUGAUAACUGUCACACCUACAAAUGACGACAAAUGUAGUAGUAACUGAACCUGACAAUACAUGUGACAAGUGACUAAUGAUGAGUGUAUUAUGUCAGCCAUUGAUUUACACAAUGUAGUUUAUAUUAAAAUGACUGUUGCAUAUAUGGAUGGAUAUUUCACUCCAGAUAAACUAUACUAUUCGAUUCAAUACAAAAAUAAACUAUCUAACAACCAUGCCAAACCAAAACACUACUAAAUUCAAUAAACGAAAGUUCAUAUUUUCAUUCUAAAACAAUAAAGAUGAAAUCGAACGUAGACCUGUAAUACCUUGCAAAGCAAGUAACCUCUAUAUACAAAAGACAUUUCUUUUGGUUUCUGCAUAGGGAAAGGCCCAACGAAAUAUGUAAAGUACAGUCUUUAAGGAUUUUUUUGGGGUCAGCACAUAUGAGCUAGCUGGCUCUGAGUAAGAUCAAAGACAAGUUAGAGUAAUCUUUUGUUUGACCCGUUAUUACCGUUUCUAGCUACACCCACAUGCAGUGUUGCGUAGUUUCACUGGGUUGAACUUGAGUCAUUAAUGUUAAAAUACUGUCUCAAAUGAAGCUUUAUGUUAGUUUAUUAUAUUAUAUAGCAUUAUUGAAGUCCAGUGUGUAAAGGGAAAAAAGAAAAAAAACGGUGAUGCUAACUAAUAUUCCCUUUGGAUAAACAAACAAUACUUUACACUAAAACACAAAGCCUCACUUCUUUCUUUGUUCCUUCAGCUUGCAAAGGUUAAUGUUCUUCAACAUAGAUCCAGCAGACUCGUAUUCAUCAUCAUCAGCAAUGACUUGUAGAUUUCUUCAGAUCCUCAUGAUCUCUUCUUUUCAUCUCAUUUAUCUAUCAACUCAGCAAGAAAUAAAGUUUCUCUACGACAACUUUCACAAGCAAGAAAAUCUUUACCUUGAUGGAUCUGCAACAGUUCUUCCCAGUGGAUUAUUACAGCUCACAAACGCUGGAGAUCAUCAAAUGGCUCAUGUUUUCUACAAGAAACCAAUCAAGCUCAGUCCUUCAAAACCACUCUCUUUCUCAACACACUUUGUCUGCGCUCUGGUUCCUCAGCCAGGGCAUGAAGGUGGCCAUGGCAUGGCCUUUGUAGUAUCUCCCUCUACAGAUUUCUCCCACGCAGAAUCAACUAGGUACUUGGGGAUCUUCAACGUGUCCAAAAAUGGUUACCCUUCCUCUGAUGUGCUUGCUGUUGAGCUUGACACUAUCUGGAAUCCAGAUUUUGAAGAUAUAGACAAGAACCAUGUGGGGAUUGAUGUCCACAGUCCUCUCUCUGUAGGAAUAGCUUCAGCUUCUUACUAUUCAGACAUAAAGAGGAAGAACGAAAGCAUAAACCUACUGAGUGGGAAGCCUAUACAGGUUUGGGUGGAAUAUGAAGACACUUUGCUCAAUGUCUCAAUGGCUCCUCUUGAAGUUGAGAAGCCAAGCCGGCCUCUGCUGUCACAACUCAUCAAUCUUACAGAAGUGUUUCCUAAUAGUUCAAGUCUUUUCGUUGGAUUCUCUGCUGCAACAGGGACAGCUACAAGCUAUCAGUAUGUUCUUUCUUGGAGUUUUUGCACAAGUAAAGGAUCUUUACAGAGUCUUGACUUGUCAAGACUCCCUGAUGUUCCUCCUCCAAGAGCUGAACACAAGAAUCUUUAUCAACUGGCCAUUGUCUUGCUUGGUUUUGUGGCUACCAUGGGGUUAGGUGUUCUCAUAGGAGUGUAUCUUUUCAGGAAGUGCAAGUACGCAGAAGUAACCGAACCAUGGGAGAAGGAGUUUGGUGCACAUAGAUUCUCUUACAAGUCACUAUACAAAGCAACAAAAGGGUUUAGCAAAGAUGAGUUUCUUGGGAAAGGAGGCUUUGGAGAAGUGUACAGAGGAACUCUCAUGCUGAGCAGAGAGAUAGCUGUGAAGAGAAUGUCUUAUAACGGCGAUGAAGGUGUGAAGCAGUUUGUGUCUGAGGUGGUGAGCAUGAGGUGUCUGAAACACAGGAACCUUGUUCCGCUUCUUGGUUACUGCAGGAGAAAGCAUGAGCUUCUUUUGGUCUCUGAGUACAUGCCCAACGGUAGUCUUGACGAGCAUUUGUUUGAUGACGAGAAACCAGUACUCUCUUGGCCUCAGAGGCUUGUGAUCAUUAAAGGGAUAGCUUCUGCUCUUUGUUACUUGCACACAGGUGCUGAUCAGGUUGUUCUGCAUAGAGAUAUCAAAUCUUCAAACAUUAUGUUGGACGGUGAGUUCAAUGGAAGGCUAGGGGAUUUUGGUAUGGCGAGGUUUCAUGACCAUGGAGGGUAUGCAUACCCAACAGGAGCCGUUGGAACUAUAGGGUACAUUGCGCCGGAAGUGAUUGAUAUGGUGGCUUCCACUGGAACUGAUGUGUAUGCCUUUGGUGUUUUCAUGCUUGAGGUAACAUGUGGGAGGAGACCUGUGGAACCACAGUUGCAAUGCGAGAAACGGCUUCUGAUCAAAUGGGUUUGUGAGUGCUGGAAAAGGGAUUCACUGCUUGAUGCUGUUGACCCGAGACUGGGAGAUGAGUUCUUGCAAGAGGAAGUGGAGAUGGUUAUGAAACUCGGUUUGCUAUGUUCAAGUACUGUGCCGGAAUCGAGGCCUACGAUGGAACAAGUGGUUUUAUACUUAAACAACAGCCUGCCUUUGCCUGAUGUUUCACCAUAUACUGUGGGGUUAAGCAGUCAUUCUUCGGUUUUGAUUGAUGCAGCCUCUCUUGUAGCUUCAAGUAGCUGGUCAGCUUCCUCCAUAGCUUCUUCCUUGGUCGAUAACUCCGCUUCAAAAGAAUAAGCCGUGGUGACAUACAUUGGAUUAUAAGAUCGUUAGUCAUAGGUAAACACCAAAUGUACAUAUAGAAGAAAGCAGAUCUUCUAGCUUUCAAGAUUGUUGUAUCUCUCUCACUUUGUCUCGGAUCAAUGAACUUGUCAGAAAGUAAUCUUCAGUCUUAUCCCUGUUGGUUUAAUUUGUAUCAUCUUGUUUUCCUUUAAAAUGAAUAUAAGCUUUCAACUACCAUCCCUUUUUAAAUCUCAUAGUGGCUAUAGUUUUCACUUCAAGAAGCUCUUUAGCACCAUCAGCCUCUCCUCCAUCACACAAUCACAUAUGAAAAAGAAAAACUAAGUAAAAAGGAAUGUGAAUAUGAAUGUGAAUAUGAAUUAUAAAAUAGCAAUCUGAUUCAAAUAGAGUUUUAAAUAUGAAUUAUAAAAUAGCAAUCUGAUUCAAUUACUAAUGGAAACGUACAACAACGGAAAUAUCACAAAACUUGUAAGCACUACAAGUUUCAGACCAUAGUCUUUAAAGAAAAGAGAAAUGAAAAAAGAACCAAAACAGAACAAGAAGAGAGUAGUCACAUUUAAGAAACAGGUGAUCCAUUUGCAAGAAGUUUGGAGUUGUUUCUUCCUUCAAUCUCCAAAUGAGUUGAGUUUGGACUUCUUGGAAUCACAAUCCUAAUCACGAUCUCACCCGCGUCGCCGUUCUUGAGAGCCUGGCCGGACGGAAGAGGAGAUGAUGGAGAAGAAGAAGAGAUAGUGACGACAUUAGUGGGAUGAUGAUUCUCUUUAGAUGAUUUUUGUGGCCGAACAACCCACAUAAGGUUGUAACCUAUACUCUUAUGCAGUAAUAUGACAGCAGAGGUGACAAGAAGUUGGAUGAUCCAAGGUAUGGUCAUGAGUAACGUUCCGCAUAUCGAAAAGAAUUUCGUGUAACCAAAGUUGUGUCUUCUCGUGGUGGAGAGACUGAAGAGAAGGAUUCCAACUAGUGUUAUCCAUAGAGAAUGUGAGAUGAUUGAUCUUAGAGGGAGUCCUCUGUUUUCCAUAGCUCUCGUUAUCUUUCUUCUCUCAUUGAGAAAGAGUCGUAAAUUUUUGUAGUUAAAGAUUUUCAAGAUGUUGUUAGAGAAAUAAGUGGUGUUUAGUUCAUAUAUUAUCUCAACUUAAUUUUUUUUUUCUUUUACAGAAAUAUCGGUUUAAGUUUAAAUUUUAAUAUUAAAAAAAUUUUGAAUAUCAAAAUUCAAAACAAUAUAUCACGGCAAAGAAUCCUUAACAACUAUGAAAAUUAUCAAAAGGAUGUUGAAACUGAGAAAACAAAAAAAAAAAUUCAAAAAAACUUGCUACCUUGAAAGAUCUGUUUUCUAUCGUUCUGAAGAACUAGGUUGUAGCAACUCGAGGCUUGGUAAGACUGCAGUAGCUUCACCAUCAAGAACAACAAGUUCACUGUGAUUCUUGAUGCAUUUUGUUGAGAAUUUGACACUAACAAAGAGAAAUGAGGUUUAAUAACAAAAUACUAAAACCUUUUGUAUUUCAAUAGGUUUAAUAAGUUAGCUUACAUGUACUUAUUCUUGGUUUCUCUUAAAGCUGUGGCUUGUACCAAACCGAGAAUUUCAUCCCCUACGUACACAGGUGAUCUGAAAUGUAGAGUCUGAGAUACAUAUACGGCUCCAGGCUGCAACAAGACCAACAAGACUCAAUAUGUUUCAGUAAAUCUGUAUAGAAGCACUAUUAGAACAUGUGGAUAAUGAACAUAUGCAAAAUAAACUAGAGAACUUACAAAAUGGGAAGAGAUAAUACGGGGAAACAUGGAAGACACAAGCAUUCCAUGGACAAGGCGAUUCUCGAAACCGGCUUUACGGGCAAGUUCUUGAUCGAAAUGAAGUGGGUUCCAAUCAUGGCUUACCUCAGCAUAGCUCUUAACGUCUUCACUUGAGUACACUCUUGCUUCUCUUAAAACAUCUCCAACUUUAAGUGUACUUGAAGUAACUGAAGAGAGACACCUCGAAACAAGGACAUUUCUCUGAAGAAAUGUCUUCGCCAGCAUCGCUUCACCUGAACCACAAAAAGGAAAAAAAAAGGUUCACGUAUCAUCACAUACACAGUGGCAACUUGUUCUUAUUGAGUCAUUUUAUCGAACAACUUGUAGGCAUGCAGUUGAAAAUCAAAAGUUACAAACUUUGCAAGAUUAUUUUCCCAAUUGCUAACAAUACAGGAUCAUAAACUAAUCUUAUAAUCAAAUGUUUCAGAAAUAAGAACGACAACAAAAGAUUAACCUAGUUGAAUAAGAGAAAGACUCAUACUUUGCCUCAAGUUUAACUGUACCAAACUUGUCUAACUCGACUUUUGAGCUCAGGCUGUGAUUAAACUGAGUUCCGUACUAAUGACUAAUACCAUACCAUAUUGACCCAUGACCAUGAUGGGUACGACAACAAAAGCUUUCUUUUAUUAAGUACCAAAAGGAAACAUACAUAAGCUGAUUGCAACAGCUGCAUUGUCUUUCGGAAUAUGAGUUUACAAAUUGCGAGCAAGACAAUCAAAAGACACUACUAUAAGAUGAAGCUUGUAAACAUUGAAGAUGCAUUGAUCAUCAAUUUUUUCAGUAUGAUGAUCCUCAACUGUCUCAGGGCUGCCAUGAGGUGAUCCAUUCAGUCAAACUUGCGACAUUGUCGGAGAUAUCUUCGAUGGUGUCGCUUUGCAGCGCGAUGACAAUCUCCUCUUGGUAACUAUCUCUUGCUUCUUCGAGCAGGACUUGGAAGAUCUCGCAUUCAAUGUUGUUAGCAAGCUUGGUUCCCGAAUAACCCCUGGUUUGGUUUGAUUUGAGGACAAAACCAAAACAUGUUAAAAAAGCCAAACAACAACUAAAACUAACACUUUCGAUGAAUAAAGGAUUGGGUUUAGAUUCCGACCUCUUGGUUAAACGGUCAUACAAGACAGAGUUCUCAGUUUGAAGCACGACAACACGAUCAAACCAGCGCUCGGGAAAGAAGUCACAGCCGUGGUAAUCAACAAUGACACCUCCUCCUUCCAUUAUAUCUUCAAGCUCAUCACACACCUAAUCAAAUGUUACAAAAAAAAUACAAUAACAGCUAAGUAAACGAAUUGAAUUCCCUAUUUGUCUGAUUAAAGAGUUAAGAUUUAACCAAUUACUCAAAAGUUAAAUCCAACCGAAGUAGCUGAAAAGAUAGAUUGAACAAACUCACUCACCAGGUCUUCGUUGAUGACGUGGCACUCGAACUGAUCGUCCCAACCGUCGUGCAAGUUCUUCUCUUUGACCAGAUCUCCGACGCAGAUGUAACGGAAGUUCGUGGCCUCCGCCAGAGCAGAAGCCGUCGUCGAUUUACCGGUACCGGGAGUCCCCGUUAUCAGUAGGUUCGGCCUUGGGCGCCUCGUCCCGUUGUUAGCUCCUUCCGCCAUGCGCACGAUCCUCUCUGUUAGAGGCUUAAAAGAGUUUUAGCUUCGCCGCCGGCGUGAGAUUUGGAAGGGAAGAAGAGAAGAGGAGAGUUUAGGGUUCUUUUCACGAACCUAAGAGCAUCUGUAUUGGUGGGAUGAGGAGAGAGGGAGAGAAAGUCCCUUAUUGUUUUUUUUUUUUUUUUUUUUUUUUUUUUUGGUCAUAGAAGAGUAAGGGACAGCCCUUAAUUAAGGACUUUUCCCUUCUCUUUCUUCCUUGGUUCCCACCCCCUUCCCCUAAGAGAUGGCUUAAGGGCCUUCCAAUACAGAUGCUCUAAAGCCUAAAGGGUGAGUGAGUCCCUCGCGGCCGUCAAACUGAUUGAUGUAAGAUAAUCCAAGGGUGUUGAAGUUUUUUUGAGAAAUUUUAUCUAUUUUCUUUUUCUACGUUACAACUCACAAAUUCAAAAUAAUACAAUUUUUUUUUUUUAUCAAACAACAUUUUAUAAAUAACUAGUUUCCAUUUGAAGAGGAAUUGUUUACAAAGAUGAUAACAAAGCCAUACUGGCUAACAACUUUGGUGCAAGAAAAGGCAAGCAAACACACAAAGAUAGAAGCAAUCAUUAUACAUAAAUAACUAACAUUGCUGAAACGUCGUAGUAUCUCGACAAUACUAGGCUUAAGCAGUGGAAUGACGCCAUAGAAAACAAAGAACACAAUCAGUGAACUACUGCUUGUGAUUGGUACUGCAACUAGUGCAGAAAUAACAAUCGUAAUACUGGCUACAAUAGCAGAGGCGAUAUGACACCAAGAUGCUGAGCCUUUGAACAAUACAUAGAACAAAUCAUCUGUAGAGCAAUCUUCCAAUCCAAAGGCUGACCGUGCAAAACAUGAGCAGCAACGAUACAAAAACAAUGGUAAUAUGGAAGUUGAAGUUGGUUUCAUAAGAGUGAUGAUAAUGAAGAUCUGAAACCACAACCAAGCUGAAAAUCUGCAAUUCAACAUUAAGUAUUCUACUCUAGAAAAAGUUAGACAGAUCUGAAACCAAGAUGUAAUAGGCAACAAACACUCUAUAGCAGAGUAGAAGGAAGUAACAGGAAACAAACACUCUAUAGCAGAGUAGGAGGUAGCAGGCAGCAAACACUCUAGAGCAGAGUAAAGGGUGGAUUCAACUAUCAUAAAGGAACCAAUAGUUGGGAAGAAGUUACCGCAUAGAGAAAUAUAAGCUAGCAAUGGUGUCUCUGGCGAGGGAAGUCUAGCGGCAACCACGUACUUGGCAAUAAUGGUACAGAGACAAGUUACAAUAUCACUGUGAUGGAGAGGAACACUUCUGGUCUCAGAUGUCGAAACUGGAAAAUCCAGAUCUAGGGUUUGGGCUAACGCUCGAGGAGAUACACUGGAUAAGUUGAUGAGUAAACGAAGAAGAGCAGGUGCAUCUGGAGGGUCUGGUGGUUCCAGCGGCUCGAUGGGAGAGAAAGAUCCCAGCGGGGGAAACUUACACGGUGGUGGAUCCGGAGGAGGCCUGGAAUGCAGCGGGAGAGGAGCAGUCGCCAUCAGAAACAUGAAGGAGGAAGCUUCUUCGGAGGAAGAAACCUAAACGGCGGCGGUGGAGCGGAGCAGAUCCAUCCGAGCGGCGCACAUCGGGAACCGGGCCUGGGAGGUUUCUUCUAGGGCGAACUCUAUUUAUCCAAUGCUAUGUUCUGAUUUCUUACAAAAUAAUACAAUUAAAUCACGUGAUUUACACUGAUGACAUACUUUGAGUUUUUAUCACAACUAUACGACAUUCUAAGAUACUUUAACACUUACUAGAACAAACAAUCACCAAACCAUGAAAUCAAGGUUUUUCAUCAAACUCGCAAUAUCACAUUUUCCUACCAAAACUAUAAAACUAUGUUUUCUCACCCAAAACCGCAACAUCAUGGUUUUCAUAAAAUACCGCAAAAUCGCAUUUUUUUCAUCAAAAUCAUAAAAUAAUGUUUCUGUUAAACUGCAAAAAAAAGUAUUUUCAUAUUAAAAUCACAAAAUUCAAUUUUCCCAUUCAUAAAAUCAGGUAAAGCCGAAAACUUCAAUUUUGCGAUUUUGACAUAAAACAUAAUUUUUCAAUAUUGACGACAAACUUUAUUUUAAAGAGUCGGCAAAAAAUAUGGUUUUUGUUUUACAAAAAAAAAAAAUAAUUUUGCAGUUUUGAUAGGCAAUGCAAUUUUGUGAUUUUGACCCUCCAAAAAAGUAAUUUUAUGAUUUUAACAGAAAAUAUGAUUUUGUAAUUUUUACGAGAAAACGUGAUUUUGUGGCUAAAUUGUAAAACAAGGUUUUGCUAUGCACAAAUACACUAUUUCUACAAUCCAAAUGUACAUUUUUUUUACCAUUUACCUUAUUCAACUCGUUUUAGAAUAUGUUCUUCUUUAUCGGCUACUGAAAUGUGCAGACUCCUAUGGGUACACAUAUAUGUUAGUUAUGUUGCGAUUAAACAGUAUUCAUUGCACUUCAUCAAUAUGUAUAAUCAUUUACAAAAAUUACACAAAACUACAUUCAUUUUGUAUGCAAAUGUCUAAGCGCGAGCUGAUUGCUAAAUUAUGUAUAACGAUACUAGCAUGUCUUUCAUUUGUUUAUGUAUCUGCUAGAGAAGCAAGAAAAACUCGAAACAAAAUUGCUAUAAUAUCACGCAAACGUCAAUGAUCAUUGAUCAAAUUACAUGAGCUUUGUAUUCAUAAUGAUUUUCAGAAGACUCGAUAUAUAUUUUAUUUAUUUAUUGAACUGAAGAACACUCGAUUUUAGUUAACCAAACACAAGGAUAUCAUUCAACAACCAUAACUUGGAUGAUCAAGUCUUAAGGCACACAAAACAAUAGAAAUACAACAUUUGAUAAAAUACAAUAGCAAAUAAGGACACAAACUUUAUUGUAGUAGAUAAGAUGAAUUUUUUAGUUCAUGGACUCGAAACAUUAUCAUGAAAACUGGAAUACCCGCCGUUCUCCCCUUUAUUUUCAACUGGUCGUGUUUCCUCUUUGAGAUGAAUAUGGGUUUUGCGUAGAUGUACUUGGUCGCGAAGUUCCUUGUGCGUGCGUUGAUGUACUUGGUCGCCAAGUUCCUUGUGUAUGCGUUGAUGUACUUGUUUCUCCUGUUCGUUGUGCUUGCGUGGAUGUACUUCGUUGUACGGCUCCUAGUGCUUGCGCAGAUGCAUUUGUUACUGUGGAUAUGGCGCUCAACAAACUUCCUGUGAUUCCUGCCACCAUUGAGGUUCCUUCUGCGCAUCAGAUGGUUAACACAUAUCUUAUUGUUAAUCAACAAAAACUGUACCACGAGAAAAUGAGGAUACAAUCUUUUAUUUUAGAAGAUGAGAUGAAAUUGUAGUUCAUGGAGCUCAAACCGAUCGCCAACUCAAAAAAUAAAAAAAAUGAAAAUAAACUAGAGGAAAGUAAGAUUUGUGUUGUCACAAGAUGAUGCAAGCACCUGAGUUAUUUUCCGAAGCUCGUUUCCUCCUCUCUUCUUCUUCCUUCUCCUGCCUGAUCUUCUCUUGUUUUCUCUUUUCUUCCGCUAAAUCUCGUUGCCUCCUAUUCUCUUCCUCCUUCUCCUGCCUGAUCCUCUUUUGUCUCAUCUCUUCUUCUUCCUUCCAGUGUUGCGGUUUCACUGCCCUUGGUUCUUUUCUAUCGUUCUUCUUUCCAAAAUACCCUUUUAUAUUGUUAGGAAGAAGGUUAAACGCACCCUUACCGAUAGCUUUUACAUUCUCAGCCGCACCGACACCUAUAGCGUUCACCUGCGCAGCAGCACCCGCCCCGACACCUUUUGCCUGCUCCAAGAAACUAUAAUUUUGCGAUGCUGUCCCGUUUGAGCUGCUGGCAUCACCAUUGAGCGGUUUACUUGCUUUUUUUAUGUUAAUAGGUCGUUUGCCUUCAUCUUGCUGCUGGAUCUUGACUUCUGGUUCCUUUGCCCCAUCUGGUACAGUCUCCUGCAAUUAAAAUAAUCAGUUCAUAGUAUAAGCUACAUUAACCCUUAUCACAUAAUAUAUAUAAAUUUAAAGCCAUUGAAAUGUAAAUUUCUUAAAUUUUUGUUCUGGGAAUUGAAAAAACAAACCUUCUUCUUUUUGAAACAGAAACAACAAAAAUUCAUUUUCUAAAAAUAGAAAAUAUUAUAGAGUGAAGAGAGAUAACAAAGGAGGCAUAUGAUUGCAAGUUGCAACCUUGCAGCUUGCUCACUAAAGCUUUGAUUUGCCGUUUAUUUAUACGAUUUCUUAUACUGAUUAGUGAAUAUAAUAACGAUUAGUCGAGUCACCUGAGCUACAACAUGAAAUAGUAAACUAUGGACGACUAAAAUCUUGACGAAUACAGACAAUUUAAAUCUUAUUAUAUUCUCUUAUAUGAUUGAUGGUUAGACUCAAAACAUUUUGGGUCUUAUGAUAUUAUAGACGGUUAAAAUAAAAACAAGUUGAAUCUUUUUUAUAUAAUAGAUGGGAAGAGUAAUAACAAUUUCAGUCUUUCUAUAUAAUAUGUGGGUAGAAUGUAGCUGCGUCUCUUACUUUAUUGUCUUUAACUAAUACCGUGUUAUAUAGACAUAUACCUAUUCGUCACUUUUGUAAAUGAUAUAAGAAAGACCCUAACCAUUUCUUCGAAGCUAGGAAAUAAUAUACCCAGUUUAUAGAAUCAAUCCAGAACAAAAUUAAAGCAUCGAGUUGUUUUGUAUAAUGCUUUAAUUCAUGUUAAGAAUUUAUCGGAGGUGUAAACAUAUUGCCAAGGAUAAGAAUGGGUUCUUUGUUACAGAAAUUGGCAGAUUUUGAGAAACAUUUUUUUAUCAUCCAUUGAAUCAAGAGGUCCAGAAUGGAUCAAAGUCUCGUAUACUCCUCACGCCAAAAAUAACAAUUUCAAAUGUUUUUGUCUAUUUUCCUAUUUUAAUAAAUAUUUAUUUAAAUUAAAAUAGAGUAAACGACUGUAAAAUCAGAGAAAAUUUUAAAUAAUUAUAGUUUAACCCGGCGAAUUAUUCAAUCUAAUUGAAUAUCCAUUUGGUCAAUGCAUUCAUUAUCUUCAAAAUUCCAAAAUUGACUUAAGUAUUUUAGGUUUUAUUCAUUUUUCCUAUUUCUUCUUUCUUUUUUGAAAUAAAUAAUUUUUUCAAUCCCACUGUUCUCCUUUCAUCCUUUAAUCACUGGAGAAAAAUAUUUUUUUUCAAUAAGAGACGUCGAAUCUUUCUCAGAAAAAAUAAUGAACCAUGAAUUAUUCAGUGAAAUGAGAAAAACGAACCCAAAAUAGUAUAACUUAGUGAAACUAAGUGCAAGUAUAAAGCUUUGUACAACUUAGUAUAAUUUCAACUGUUAUAAUAUAUAAUUCAGUAUUACUAUGUGCAAUUUAUAAUGAUGGCUUAAUUUGAUAUACUUAAUUUUUUUUUUCAAAUUCAGCUUUUAGAGAAGGAAAGUGAAACCAUGCAAUCUCUGAUGGUGGAAACAUGGAACAAAGUGAGAAAAAUGGUGGUUCAGGUUGUGUAGAGAUGAAAAAGAGAGUGUUGGUAAGGGUGUAAGGGAGAAGAACGGUGAAAGUGAUAAUGGAAAAAUGUUGUUGGAGUUGAGAAAAAAAAUCAAUCAUUGCAAUCAAUGCAAGUUUGUGUAACCCGUUAAGAAUUAGUCAAACUUUCUUAUUUUUGUUUGUCAAACUUUGUAAAGUUCCGUAUUAUUUUGCUUUAAUUUUUGUGUAACCCUGUAAAAACUUGGAAAAACUUUACGUUCCAUUAAAUGAUACAAAUUCUGAUUAGUUAUACUUCCAAGUUCUUAAAACUAUCAUAAUAAUAUGAAUAAAACAACUUAAAACUAUCAUAAGCUUCCUCUCAAUAUAGAGUUUCUCAAUACAAGUAAUACAAAUGUGCCAAGCAGCCACAGCGCGCAACUAUGGCUGAUGGAUUCAACAAAGUGAUGACAUUUGAUUUGAGAGAAAUUCAAAGCAACAAUAACAACAGCACAAUCUCUAAGCAAAAAAAAAAAAAAAAAAAAGAGAGACAAAUCUGCUAUUUUGCUUCCAAUAUCGCUCAUCUACCUUCAGAGCAUAAGACAAUUCAUGUAAAGCUGCUCAUUUUUUUCCGUUGUGGCAUCAUUGUCUGCGUAGAGAUUACACACCUUCGCUUUAACAUCUUCAACUUGCUUUUUCGAGUUCAAAUCAUUCUGUCGUUUCCACUGUCUUACAGCUUUCCUACAAUUUGAGAUAUGCUCCAUGAUAUUUGGAUUAGAUGGUAUGUGAGGUGAGUUCCACCGUUUAUCAAAUUUGAAAUUUUUUCUUUUCUGGCUGGUAUGGACAAGAUAUCUGCAAGUACUGGACGAUGAUUUGACCUCGCAUACGAAGAUAUUGAACUUUUAUGUGAGAAAAUUUCUCAUGCCAAUCCUCAUUUCCUAAAAUUUGGUUCAAAUGACACCAAACAUAACCACAACUUUUUUUUUGCCCAUGACAUUUGAUUUCUCGUAUAAGGAAACUCAAGUAUGCCUGCCACAAUCCGUGAUCAUUUGGUUAAAAAAGGCAAAAAAGAGGUAUCAGACCUUCUCUUCUCUUGCCUCCAAUUCUCUUUGAGGAUAGCAUGUUAUUUCAUUGAAAUCUCUCAUAAACCAAGGUCUCUCUCUAGAAAUAGCAAAAACUGAGUCCCCAUAAACAAAUGUUGUUAUGUAAUAUUUUAAUUCAUCUAAAACUAUCUAUACAUCAAUCAUCUUAUUAUUCGAAAAUAGAAUCUGAAUUUGAAAAUCAUUCAUAAAAAAUAAUGCAAGUCAUCUCAACAGUAAACAAAUUAUUAUAUCCCAAAUCCAUUUGGAUGUUUUGCAACACUGUUUUUUUAUUCCUAAAAUAAAUCUUCAACACGAUCCCUCCGGCUCCUAUCAUAUAGUUGUCGUCAAUAUAUUAAAUAUUUCAUAUUACUAAUCAAUAAAAUUAGUCAUAGCAAAGAGUAAUUUAUAGUUUAUUCUGUUUCGUGUUAGCUUCAUGAACUCUCUCUCUCAGAACUUUUCGGUUUUGACGAUUAUAAUUAAUAUACGGAAAUGCAGCUAGAUACAAUGCUUGCCAAAGGGGAACAAAGUUAAAUAAGUUAUGGGAAACCCAGUAUCCGCUCUUUGUGUAUUGCCAAAUAGAUUUUUGUCACCAUUGUAUGAAUCUUUAGUAUAUAUUAGAUGGGAUAUCAACUAGCUAGUUGAACUAAGGCAAGAGACACAUGUUCCAUUUUCCUGUAUAAUCUUUUAAAAGGCUGGUUUAUGUUUAUGCUUAACUGGCUGUAUCUAGUAUGGUUGGCUUGCGGGCAGCUUAUACACAAGAAUCUGAGAAAACAGCUGUUUGAAAACGUCAAAACUCAAAACACUUUUUCAAUAUUAAAUAGGUGGAAAUGGUUUAAUGCAAAACCUAAUAUUUCUAAAGAUAGCUCAAAUCUUCUUUUUUUUUUAUACUAACUAGAUUCAUGCGUAUGUCCUUAGCUCACUGAGAUAUCCCAAGAUACAACUAAAAGGUAAAUAACAAAAGGAUUGCAUGCCGGCCAAAGAACGAAGGAUAAGCGCACACACAAAAAAAAAUCAACGAACUCGUCGUCGUUAACGCGUUCAAUAUGAUAUGUCAGUUUUACUUGCAUACAUAUAUUCAGUUUAAGAUAAUAAGAUCAAAUCAUGAUAAAUCUAAUUGUUAAAUGAAUAUAAUCAACCAAAGAAAGAAUCAGAAGCAAGGACGAAGUCGUCAGCGGUUACGUAUCUCAGGACAUAUUCGUUAUCUCUUCAUAACACACAUUUCACAUGAAACCGUUUAUAUAUUUGGUAAACAUAGUACACGCUGUAGCAUAAUCAGCCCAACAGAGUCAAAUAUUAUCUCUACUCUUUAUACAUAAUUCCGUUACAACACAAAAACGAAAGAUCUUUGAUACAUGGAGAAGAAUACAAAGAAAGAAACGAGAAAAGGAUGUCUUCCAACUCUCGGAUGCAUAUAUCGAUGGAAGAGCAACUGGAAGACUAAGAAAGAAGAAAAAGCGGCUCGGAAAUGUAAGUCACUUGUCUAGUCAGAUGAUAAAUUUCAUGAUGUUGUAUUCAUUGAUGAUGAAACUAAUAUUACAUGGUUGUGGUUUCGGGUUCGGGGUUUUGACGAGAUUCGGCCCGGAACCUCCUUGUAUUAAAUACAAAAGAUGAUGAAAAAUGGAAAAGAUUAGGAAAAUUUAGUUCAAGAGGCGGCCAUGCCGAUGAACCACAGCGCGCCAUUAUGGCUGAUGAAUUUAACAAAGUGAAGACAUUUGACCUGAGAGCAAUCCAAAGCAACAAAAACAGCAUCAAGAAUGAGGCGUAAAAAAAAGACAAUUACUUUCCCAGGCUUUUCAGUCAAAAGAAGAAAAAAUAGUCUGAAAACUAUUAUAACAACGUCAAUCCUUGUGUACAAACGUCGUACAAGUACUUUUUAUUCAUCUUGGUUGCAUAUCUGACAAGAAAGAUCGGUUUAGAUCAGGGUGCCUUGUGAUGUGUGUUAUAUCUACUUUUGUCAAAGGAUGCGAUUGUAUAAAAUAAAAUAAAAAGAGUUCUGAACGGAACUAGGCCAUAAUCCAUGGACUAGUUUGCAAUAUUCCCGUAUUUGAAUAAAAAAUCAUGGAGCCUAUGAUUGAUUGAUUUUUGUUGUUGGUAUAAAAUGACAUCACCGUACACGUCAACAGUCCAAGUAUAUAGGACAACAACUCUCCACUCACAAACUCCCACGUGUCCCGAUAACGUUCCCGUCUCUUUAUCUCUCUCCCUCUUCCGUCUUCUACUAGUACUCUUCUCACAUCGCUCUUCUAGCUAAACCACUGAAGCAGAGCAGAAGCGUUCGUUGAGACAAAAAGGAAAGACAAUGAUGUCUGUGAGAACAAUCUUACCACCGGCAGUUCUGCUGAUCCUCAUCGCUGUAUCGACGGCGGAGAGUAUCGAAUUCGAUGAGUCAAACCCGAUCCGUAUGGUCUCCGACCGUCUCCGGGAGGUAGAGCAAUCCGUUGUCCAGAUCUUAGGACAAUCCCGCCACGUUCUCUCCUUCGCUCGCUUCACUCACAGGUACGGGAAAAGGUACGAGAGCGCGGAGGAGAUGAAGCUCAGGUUCUCGAUAUUCAAGGAGAAUCUGGAUUUGAUCAGAUCCACUAAUAAGAAAGGCUUGUCUUACAAACUCGGUCUCAAUCGUAAGUUUUUAUUAUCUCGACUUCUCUCCAUGGGAGUGAUGUUUUGUAAGUAGUCUCUUGAGGUCAUGAAACGAAAACUGACACAUGGAUAUAUAAAUAAAUAAAUAACCGUUUCCGUCUUGGUAUCUUCUACGUUGAAUUUUUCUUUUUUAAAUAUGAUUUUAGUUUUUGUUUUGAUUCACGUGAUUGGUUUGAAGUUUGCAAAGUAGUAUAUUAUUAGAAUGAGAGACUAGUUUGCGUGACUAUUUAGCAACAAACUUAUUGUUCUGCUUCUUAGCUGCCCUGAUUAAUGUCUGUUCUUUUUCUUCCUUGCGUUAGGAUGCUUGUUUGUCUUAUGGCAGACGUUACUGGUGGUUUGAGGAUUAUGAUUGACCCAUUUCAUUUCAAAAAGAAUCUGAAUUUUCCUAACUAUCUUUUGAAUCAAUACAGAGUUUGCUGAUAUGACGUGGCAAGAGUUUCAAAGGACCAAGCUUGGUGCUGCUCAAAACUGCUCUGCCACUCUAAAGGGCAGCCACAAACUCACAGGAGAAGCUCUUCCGGAAACUGUAAGUUGCUGCACCGAAACCAUCAAGUUCCUGUUUUUCAGCUUUUCUUUAAUUUGGCUUUUGAGUCUUAAAAUUGUGUAACUGCAGAAAGACUGGAGAGAAGAUGGUAUUGUUAGCCCAGUCAAAGACCAGGGGGGUUGUGGUUCUUGCUGGACAUUCAGGUAUAUUUUGAAAUUUUUGUGGGAUCUCUUGAUACCAAACUUGAAAGUCAUAUGGUCUAUUUCGUACCUACAGUACUACUGGAGCGCUUGAGGCAGCUUAUCACCAAGCAUUUGGAAAAGGAAUAUCCCUCUCUGAGCAGCAGCUUGUGGAUUGUGCUGGAGCUUUCAAUAACUAUGGCUGCAAUGGUGGCCUUCCUUCCCAAGCCUUUGAAUACAUCAAAUCCAACGGCGGCCUCGACACAGAGGAAGCUUAUCCUUACACCGGUGAAGAUGGAACCUGCAAGUAUUCUGCUGAGAACGUCGGUGUACAAGUCCUUGACUCAGUCAACAUCACUCUGGUAAGCAUCUUUUACGGAUUCUUGGAUCUCGCCUGCCUUACAAAUUAUAUGUAAUGUGUAAUGAGGAUUCAAACAACGACAACAGGGUGCUGAAGAUGAACUGAAGCAUGCGGUUGGAUUGGUACGACCAGUGAGCAUAGCAUUCGAGGUUAUACACUCGUUCCGGCUUUACAAGAGUGGAGUUUACAGUGAUAGUCACUGUGGACAGACUCCAAUGGUGAGACUUUCUUCUUCAAACUGCUUAAUGAUGCUAAAUUAAUCUUAAAACUCCUUUGCAAGUAGAAUCAAUUGAGCUUAAUAGCUAGUGUUUUAAUUCAUUGUUUUUAAUGUGGUAUUAGGACGUGAACCACGCGGUUUUGGCGGUUGGUUAUGGAAUUGAAGACGGUGUUCCAUAUUGGCUUAUAAAGAACUCAUGGGGAGCGGAUUGGGGUGACAAAGGUUACUUCAAGAUGGAGAUGGGGAAGAACAUGUGUGGUACGUUCUUUAACUCUCAUUAAACCAUUAUCAGACGAUGUUAACAGAUAAUCAGAAUUUCAGAUGUUAUCAUAUUUGGUCUCUCUCUCUAUAUAUGUUGUUGAUUCGUUCUUGAACUGCAGGUAUCGCGACAUGUGCAUCGUACCCGGUUGUGGCCUAAGAUGAUCAGCGAAUGUCAGUCUCUCAGUGAUCAGAUUACAAUCAUGUUCGCAUAUAUAUUGGAUUUAAGACAUUACUUGAAAAUCACUUGGGAGUGCAUAGUGUUUUAUUAUGCUUGUUGUAACAUAAGGUCUGUUCAUAUGUACAAAAUGAUGCAUACACUACAGACGAUCAACUUUAUAAUGUAUCCAUGUUAAAUUUAAGGACAUAAAUUUAUUUGGACCUUAGUAGCUUUGUUCUUGAUCCUAAGCCAAUUUCAAUUAAAAAUAGUUACAAUUUAUGAUAUAUACAUUCUAAAUUUUAAGUAAAUAUAUUGAUUUACACUGAACUUUUACAUUGGCUUACUUGCGCAAUUAUUUAAAGAAAACGUUUUAUUUAUGGAAAUUGCAGCAGAGGAUCGAAAUUAAGACAGGCAUAGGCAAAAAAAAAAAAAAAAACCCACGAGAUAAAAUAAGAAUCGCGGAGAGAGUCUGAGUAUGAUAUACAUAUAAUCAAAGAAGAAUGAGAUUAGUUGACUGAAAAAUAUCAGGGCCAAACAAUUGUUUUUCUUCCCUUGCUGCAGUGCUGCUGCUACUUUGAACUCCUCUCAAAUCAAACGUCUUCACCUUAUUGAAUCCAUCACUCACUGUCCCACGUCUUUCUGCCGUCGGGCCGUCGCAGCUGAAUGCUUGUACUUGCGGAAGAGAUCCAUUCAAAUCUCAGAUUUAACACAACUCCCUAUUUUUCUUGAGUCAAACUAUUAGCUUUUUUAACCCCUAAACUUAAGUUUACCAGCUAGAAGAACAUUCGUUUUCAUUUUAUUUGAACUUCACAUACAUAAAGAAUAUUUUAUUUUCAAAAUAGUUUGUACUCUUUCUAAAUAAUUGUAUAUCAACUUAUUUGAACUUGAAUCAUAUAUCAACUUAUUUUCUAAAUAAGUAAUAUUCAAACAUAAAAAAUUGUAUUUUUUCAUGUGAAGUACGUACCCCUUCUAUUUCUUUUCAUAAGACGUGUUAGUAAAUUCUUUUUUUUUCCAACUUAUUUGACGUGUUAAUUCUUAUGUAAGAAUUUAAAUCCUUUUCCAAUUUUAGCUAACCGUACAGUUAUUAUGAAUUCUGAUCAAUAAUCAUAUUUAGUUCUAUGCAUACGCCUUCAACAAAUAUCAUAUAAAAUUAAAGGGAGAUGAAGUUCUAAAAAAAAAAGUUUUUUUUUGUACUUUCUUUUGCGAGUGGAAAUAUAAGCCUAUCUCGUAAGGAUAAGAAUCGUAUUCUGUUCUGUUCUAUUAUAUUCUAUAUACGUGAUAUAUACGGUUCUAGCUCUAAUUAACAAUGGCUAUCAACUAUGGUUAAAAUGUUAUGUGAAAUAUGCGUACCUCCUUCAUAUUCUUGUAUCGCCUGAUCUUGGAUUGACUCUUGCUUGGCCUGUGUACCGUUCUUGUUCGCAGAGCUUGAAUCAUAUAUCAACUUGUAAAGUUCAUCUCCAGGUUCCGAAUGUAUUACUUCUUUCUCAUUCAAGCUCUCAUUCUUGAUGGAAGUGCUUGAAUCGUGUAUCUGUGACUUGCUAUCCACAUACUCUCCUAACCAGAAUUCUUCGGUCUCUUUCAAUUUAUCUUCGUCUUUUACUGGAAUCGGCUUCGAAAAUUCAUUGGCUUUCGUAGCAGCUUUUUCAUUUUUCUUGCUCUUCCUCCUCCAGAGAUAUAUGUUUCUCAUAUUUGGAAGACAUCCAAUCCUCAUAACUCUCUUUAUAAGCUUUUUAAUUGUUGGAUACCGAUCUGCCUUUUUACUAUAUAUAGGAACUGAAUUAUGGAGAUAUAAAGAUCUGACUCUUGUUUCGACAUCAGUUAAAUCUCUGUAUGUGUUAUAUAAAUACAGUUUCAUGUUAAUGUAUGUUCAUAUGCUUACCAUGGAGACACGGAAGAGAUCAUAACGUGAUAUGCCAUACAAACUCGUAGACAUCACGUCACUGCUAGGCUCAUUUCUUCACUUCUUUAUUUGCACACCAUGUCACUGAUUAUAUGACCACCUUAACUUCUAACUAAUCAACAUUAGAAUGUAAUACUUCGUGGAAUUCUUCUUUUAUACCGGGGACAAAAUAAUAAUCUACAUGCUACGCUACUUCUAUAUAUAUCUUCCAUCAAUACAACAAUUACCCUGUGAUUACUUUAAUACUUUUUAAUCACUUAAAUAUGAUGUAAGCAUCGGAAUAUGAUAGGAAAAUUACGUUAAAAGUAUUAUAGAACUGUGUACCUAGACUUUUGGAAAGGAAGAGGAAAAGAUCAACGUAAAACGCAGAUACAAGUUUCACACGAUAAGACCAGAAUUAAUCGUACGUGCACAACGAUAAUUGGACAAUAAUAUUUAUUUGGUCGGUCAUAGAAAUACUUAGACCAUCUCCAAUGACUUACUCUAUUUUUUACUUUAAAAUAAAGCAACUCUAUAAUAGAAGUUGAGUUUGCUCCAAUGGUACUAUAUUUUAGAGUAAAAAAUACAGUGAUGAACAAAAAACAAACAAGUUACUCUAUAUUUAGAGUAAACCUAUUUUCUACUAUUAUAGAGUGAGAAAUAAAGUACCAUUAGAAUAUUUUUUACUCUAAACUCUAUUUUAAAGUGAAAAAUAGAGUGAGAUAUAAGAUGCCCUUAGACCUGCAAUCCCAACGUCCCUAAUCAAUCGUACGUUGUUAUGACUUUCAUCAACGUUCUUCAAAAUAUAAAGGUACGAAAGUUACAAAAAAAUAAUACUCCCUCUGUUUCUUAUUACUUGAUGUUUUACUACAAUGCACAAAUAUUAAGAAAAACUAUUGUUUAUUAAAAGUAUCACUAAAUUAUAAUAUAAAAUUAGUUUAUUUAAUUAUAAAUGAAAAUAAUAAAAAUCUAAUUGGUUACACAGUUUUUGAUAAAAUUAAAGUUACAUAGAUUUGUGCAAACUUCAUCUAUUAUGAAACAACAAAACUUCUCUAAAACAUUAAGUAUAUUGAAACGGAGGGAGUAAUAUAUAAAGGUAUGAACAUCAACAUUAAUCAAUACUUAUUUUUGUUUUGGAAAUUAGGUAGCUUUCUAAACGAACAGUAAAAUGAGAUCCAUAAUGGUCAAAUGGAUCUCAUCAAACCUAGUCCUGAAGAAAUCUUUAACCAAUAUUCACACAAACGUUGUUGUUGUUUUCCGAGACAUCCAUUCACAAAAGCAUAUAACAUAUGUAUACUAGCUACUCUUUGACUCUAACUCUACACAAUAUUCUUUUUAAGUACAAAGUACUCCUCUCGUUUGAGAUGGUAUGGGAGAAAUGAACUCACUUGGAAAUUAUAGUCUCAAAGAUUGUAUAAGAACUCAAAAUAAAAAACUCUCUUUAUUAAUCUCUCUUAAAAAAACACUCAAAAACCUUAAGCUUCUAAACCACAAUCUCUAAAACUCUCAAAGGAAUGCAACACUCUUAGGAGAUUAUAUUUCCUAAACUCAUUAAGAAACUAUUCUAAUCCUAUCUCCAUUAGAAUUGGUGUAACUUGAGGUCGAGUUAACUUUAUGUUUAUCUACAACAUUCUCUCUUUUAAACUUGAAGUUAAUUAUAUCUUGAACUCCAACCAAUUAUCUCAUCUCUUUGAACUUUAUUCUUCCAAGUGCUUUGGUUAAAAUGUCUGAUCUUUGCUCCACGCCUGGUACAUGUUGAACCUCUACUUGCUCAUUUUCGAUACAUCCCUUAUGAAGUGAUAUCUCUUAUGAAUAUGCUUGAUGCAUCCAUGAAAUACAAGAUUCUUCGUUAAGGCUAUUGCUGACUUGUUGUCGAUACAUAUCAUCACCUUCUUGCAUGAUUGUUCGGUGAUCUCUUCCAAUAGUUCUUGCAGCCAUAUUGUUUUUUGGCAGCUUCAGUGGCAGCCAUAAAUUCUGCUUCACAAGAUGAUAAUAUGACUGUUUUCUGCGAGCACCAUGCAAUAGGACAUCUAUUCAGGUUUAUCUCCAACAAAAAUGAAUUUAUUGGUAUAUGAUAAUCUGAUUGUAGCAACCCAUCUAGCUAACUAGGAGAUUUUGGCUCAGAUAUGAGUUUAAGAAAAGCCGAUCUAUAAUAGUGGAGAUUAGAUUCCCUGAUGACCCUGAGUGGGAGAUAUCCAAAGAAGUCAUUGAGUUUUGGAGAAGUAAAAGAGAAGUUGAGUCUACUCCUCAAGAAGAAUGAUGUUGAAACCCAAGUCUCCAAUAUUCUGCCCGGAGCUCACCACAUAAGAGAGCAUCGUCCUUUAGCAAUAUAAAUUUUGAUGGCUUUCAUCAAAAACUAAAGGCUUACAUGUGUUUGUUUAGUCUUUGAACAUUUGCUUCCCUCUUCAUUUUGUUCUUACAUAGUGGUUUAAAACCGUGAUUUGAUUAGGAUGGUUCUGGCCCGUCUCAACAGAAAGUAAGGCCCUGAGAUGAAAAAAAAUGUUGGAACCCUUUUAUAGAAAAGAAACAAAAAUUGGAACUGUUUUUUUUUUAAGAAUUUUUUUUUAAAAUAAUUUUGGGCCCUAGUUUGAACCAAAAUAUUUUAAAUGAUGUAAAGGGCUCUGUGCAAAUGCACACUGAGCACAUGCACAAGGCCGGGCCUAUUCUGCAUACCAAGAUUGAUUUGUACGUGUAUACAACAAUUUAAUUUCGAUAUUACUGUGUUCCCAACGAAAUGUUAUUAUGUUGUUGUGUACACACCUUGACGGCUUGAAUGUGAUACUAUCUGCCAAUGUCUGAGGUAUCCUCAUUCCAUAGUAUCAUUUAUAUGUAUAUUAAUUAUAAAACAUUCAUGAGAGUUAAUCAAUUCUUUAUUUAAAUCAUCUUAAUUUUAGUUGACUAUUUAUAAACACGUCUUAAAUAAAUUCGUUAUGAAAAUUAAUUGUUCUUAUUUAAUCGAGGAAUCAAUUUGUUCAUAUUGUGUUGAAUAGCAAAUGCUCAAUUUUUGAAAAAGUUGCAGGCAUGCACUGAUGUGCACCCCAACACUUGGAGAAAAGAAUUUUCAAAAAAAAAAAAGAUCCAAAACGCAUAAGGGCAAAUUGGUAAAACUAGAACCACAAAGAAAACGCGAAAACCCUAAAGCUCGUAGCUAUAAGUACCUGAUUAGUUUCAGUCUUAGGGUGCGCUCUCAUUUCAGUUUCGUAGCCGCAAGUCCUCCUCUCAGAUUCUUACUUGCAGGUGAGAAAAAACUCUCUCUAUAGAUUUACAAUCUUCUUAGAGUUAUCGAUGCUGUUUCUGUAUUAUUGUUUAUAUCUCCGUUGCUUAGAUCCUUAUGAUAAGCUCUAUGUUGACUGUGAUUAUCGCUUGCUAGAAGCUGUUAAACUGUUCGAGUUUAAGAUCUGAGUAUUCAUCGAUCUGUUAGAUUAUUAUGAUUCUGAUGAAAUCGUACUGCGAUCUGUUGAUUUGUGCUAUUGAAUCAUUUCUUUGAUGCGUAUGGUUGAUCAUGUUAUAUAUUUAGUUAGAUUUAAUGUAUUGUCGCUAGAUCUUUGAUUCUAUUUUCAUAGAUUGUAGCAAGUCAAUGGAUCCGUAUUGUAUUUUGAAUGAUUUUAUUUCUUCUUGUUCUAAUGGUUUGAUCGUGUUGUAUUGUCAUGCAGCUAUGGGUAAAGAGAAGUUUCACAUCAACAUCGUGGUCAUUGGCCAUGUCGACUCUGGGAAAUCGACCACCACUGGUCACUUGAUCUACAAGCUUGGUGGUAUUGACAAGCGUGUCAUUGAGAGGUUCGAGAAGGAAGCUGCUGAGAUGAACAAGAGGUCUUUCAAGUACGCGUGGGUGUUGGACAAACUUAAGGCCGAGCGUGAGCGUGGUAUCACCAUUGAUAUUGCUCUCUGGAAGUUCGAGACCACCAAGUACUACUGCACGGUCAUUGAUGCCCCUGGUCAUCGUGAUUUCAUCAAGAACAUGAUUACUGGUACCUCCCAGGCUGAUUGUGCUGUCCUCAUCAUUGACUCCACCACUGGUGGUUUUGAAGCUGGUAUCUCCAAGGAUGGUCAGACCCGUGAGCAUGCUCUUCUUGCUUUCACCCUUGGUGUCAAGCAAAUGAUUUGCUGCUGUAACAAGGUGAGCUAACUUCUUGUUUUCUUGUUUACUUCUUAUAUUAUUUUGGUUUGUUUGCUAACAGAUGUGUUUAAUUUAUCUGGAUCUCAGAUGGAUGCCACUACCCCCAAGUACUCCAAGGCUAGGUACGAUGAGAUCAUCAAGGAGGUGUCUUCCUACUUGAAGAAGGUUGGGUACAACCCUGACAAAAUCCCAUUCGUCCCCAUCUCUGGAUUCGAGGGUGACAACAUGAUUGAGAGGUCCACCAACCUUGACUGGUACAAGGGACCAACUCUCCUUGAGGCUCUUGACCAGAUCAACGAGCCCAAGAGGCCCUCGGACAAGCCCCUCCGUCUCCCACUUCAGGAUGUCUACAAGAUCGGUGGUAUUGGAACGGUGCCAGUGGGACGUGUUGAGACCGGUAUGCUCAAGCCCGGUAUGGUUGUGACCUUUGCUCCUUCAGGGUUGACCACUGAGGUUAAGUCUGUUGAGAUGCACCACGAGUCUCUUGUGGAGGCACUUCCAGGUGACAACGUUGGGUUCAAUGUUAAGAAUGUUGCUGUGAAGGAUCUUAAGCGUGGGUAUGUUGCAUCUAACUCCAAGGAUGACCCAGCUAAGGGAGCUGCCAACUUCACAUCCCAGGUCAUAAUCAUGAACCACCCUGGUCAGAUCGGUAACGGAUACGCCCCAGUCCUCGAUUGCCACACGUCCCACAUUGCAGUCAAGUUCUCUGAGAUCUUGACCAAGAUUGACAGGCGAUCUGGUAAGGAGAUCGAGAAGGAGCCCAAGUUUUUGAAGAAUGGUGAUGCUGGUAUGGUUAAGAUGACUCCAACCAAGCCCAUGGUUGUCGAGACUUUCUCAGAGUACCCACCGUUGGGACGUUUCGCUGUCAGGGACAUGAGGCAGACCGUUGCUGUUGGUGUCAUCAAGAGUGUUGACAAGAAGGACCCAACCGGUGCCAAGGUGACCAAGGCCGCAGUGAAGAAGGGAGCCAAAUGAUGAGACUUCUCUCGUCUUUGUGUUUUCUUUGCUUUUAAAAAAACUUUGAUGGCGUUUGAGCCUUUGUUCUUUUAUUUUCUGUGACUUUCUCAUCUCUACCUCCUUUUUUUUUCAUAUCUCUGAGACUUAUGGGUUACAAUUAUGCAGUUUCUGGAUAAUUUUGCGUAGUGUGUUUUAGUGUUUUGUUUUGCUACAAAUUAAUUUUCUUUGUUCUUGAAUGCCUUUUUGUUUUAGCUUAAACCCGGCCACGUUCUGUCGUUAACCUGAGAGCAUCUUUGUUUAAACGCCCGUCCAGAAUUUAGGAGACACUCUUCAUGUUCUUAUUCAUCAAUAUUACCAAAUGGAGAAUGAGUAUAUCAUUGUUAAUGAUACUAGAGAUUUUUCCGGGCUACGCCCGGGUUAUUUUUCUAUAUAUUCAAGGGUGAGUUAGUGAAAUAACCAAAACAAAAAAAUAAAAUUAAAUUUGUAGAGAGAUAGGAAGAGAAGAAAGGAGAGAGAAUGAGAUUUUGGUUACUUGGCAAAUUUUAGUUUUUUUUGUAUGGUUAUAGAGUGCGAUUUCUGUAUAUUCAAAUUAAAUUUAGAUUAUUUAUAAUUUGUGUUUUUAAUAUAUUUUUUCACUGAUACUACUAUAUAAACUAUUAGAAAAUUUAUAUUUUUUGUAUUGUUUUGGUAAUAACAAUUUUGAAAUUAUUGAAAUUCAUUUUUUUUUCAAUAUCAGAAAAUACACAUAACCUGGUACGCAUGUUGAAUAUUUUUUAAUUAUUCUUAUUUAAAAUUCAAUUGUUCCUUUUCUCGUUUAUUAUUUUUUCAAAUGAAAAUAUGGUUAAACUACUAUAUAAUUCACUUUAUUUUAAUAUUAAUAUUAACCAAUAUGAAUAUUUAAAUUUUAACUAUUGAUUAUUGAUUCUUUGCUACUAAAAAAUCUAUAUAAAUUUGUUCUUGUGUUAAAAGCAGUGGCGAAAUGAAUAGCAGCUGAAAUCUAAGAGCAAUGUACAUUAAAAGAAUCCUGAGAUCAUGUCAACUGUGUUUCUUUCCAUGCAGCAAACAAAUUCAAAAUAAAAAUAUCAAAAACAUAAUAAUAGUAUUCUCUAAGAGCUAUUUGUAUGUUUUGCCCUACAAAAUCCAAACAGUUUUGUUAUUUUUUUAUAAGAAAAAAAUCUUAACAAUUUAUUCAUAGUCAAUUUAAUCAAGCAUAUUAUUAAUUUUAGAAAUAAGUAUAUUUUCUUAGUUCAAACUAUUCCGAAAGAAAAUAUAGAGUCUUAGCUCCGACUACAUCUCUAACCACCCUUAUGUUUGCUUUUAUAAUAGCAUUUAGAAAUACAUUCACUCUAAUCUAAAAGAAUAGAGAUUACUAUUUUUUUCUAUAAAUAGAAACAUAGGUAGAAAUCCUAUAUUUUAUACUCUAUAAAUAGAAAUUGCUAUUUUAUAAUUAUACAUUGGAGUAAGUUCCAUUUCUGUUAUAGACAUCUAAUAUUCUGUAGAUUAAAAAUAGAAAAUACAUUAGAAAUGGUCUCAUUCACAAUUAAAACAUCUUUUUACAUUUUUUUUUUUGACAGCAUCUUUUUACAGUUUCCAAUUCAACUUAGUUGGGGUUACAAUCAGCCACUUUAACUUGAGGGCCUCAUUAUCUUUUUUUUUUUGAGCAAAUAGCGCCUCCUUAUCUAGAACUUUGUUUCUUAACUUAUACUUACCAUCCCUAAUUCUUUUAAUUAAUGUUUUGUUUUUUUUAGGUUUUGUCAACAGUUUAAUUUUUAUGAUCAUCCCCUAUACAUUAUUUGAGAAGUGAUUUUGCCAUAUGUCUUUCUACAAUUAUUUUCACAAAAAUAAUAUGUCAUGGUUACUAAAAUUAAUGACAUGACUUAUAACUUAAUAUGACAUGGAAAAUUACAUUUAAUGUUGAAUUUAUAUUUUUUCGUAAACUUUUUAAAAUAUAAUAACAAUUCAUAUAUUACAUUUAAUGUCGAUUUAUAUUUUUGGAUUUUUUUUAGAAUAUUGCAAUAACUCAUAAAUCCUCAUUAAAAUAAAUAUAUUCGAAUAAGGCAUUACAAAUUUUGAAAUAUUAUUUAAUUAUAUAUUUUUAAAUUAUACAAUUGUAUUACAAAAAUGUAUAUAGAUUUUUUUUAGAAAAUUAUAAAAAUUUAAUCGUAAAAUCAUUAGUUUCUUAUAUAUAUACAAAUUUUAUAAUUAUGCAAACCUUUUUGCAAAUUUAUUUAAUAUAUUUAAUUAAAAUAAAUAGAUAAAACCUAUCUAUUAAUUUUAAAUAUAUACAUGCAUAUUCUUAAAUAUAAUUUAAAAAAACAAAAUUAUUUUAUUUUUAUGUUAAUUUUAUGUUUAAUUAAACAAAAUUUAUAUUAAAAUAUUGAUAAAAAAUAAAAUUUACAGUAUUAAUAAAAAAUUAUUUUCAAAUAUAAUUUAUAUUUGUCUGUUAAAAAAUAUUUUAAAUUUCUACUGCACUUGGUGCAGGAAAACACCUAGCUUCUUAUUCAAAGAUAUGUUUGCAUUGUUUUAAAUCUCGUCUAGAUUAAUAACUAAAAAGAUAAAUUUUCUCUUAAAAUAUUAAAUUUAUGCUACAUCACAUAAUUUCUAAUAUUAAGACUCAUAUGUACUUAUACAGAUAGGAUUAUCAUGUGCGUUGUGAUUGAUAGAACGAAGAGCAACACAAAAAGAAUCUUCUUCCGGUAAAAUAUUUUUCGAGGCGCACCAUUUAAUAUUGCUGCUUACAUUCAUGAUCUCAUAAGCAUGCGCUUGGUGGGGAGAAGGUGAUAUUACAUGAUCUUCGGAAUAAUUAAGAGUAGUACCAUUGCUUCUGACUCUAAAUCCGAUCCUACCCUCCCUAAAUGAGAUGACCCCUAGAUGAUUGACCCCCGAGAGCUACGUCCACCAGUUAGUUUGGAAGCAGCAUCAUAGUUUCUCUCCACCAUUCCUUCAGUUUCAAAAGCUGCAGGAAAAAUACUCGUGUAGCCCUUAUAUUAUCCACAUUCUGAAUCUAUCAUGAACAGAUUGUAAGAUACAAUACCUCUUAAAUAUUAUGGAGGGGGUAAUUUUUAUUGUAUAUAUGAAUAAUUUCAGUUUAAAUAUUAUAUGAGGGCUCAAGAAAAUACAUACACUUAAUCCUUAAAAAUUGAUUAUGAAUAUGUAUAUUUCUAAGUGGCUUUAUGAAGUUUUUUAACAUUGAACUUAGUUAAUUUAAUCAACACUUGGAAUCAUAUUCAAUCGUAUAUCUAAUGUAAAUCGUAUUGAACUUAGUUUUUUAACAUUGAACUUAGUUAUUUUCAUUGUUUUGUCUAACUAAAUUUUCAAUAAUAAAACUUACCUUUUUAGGUGUUUCAAAAAAACUUGCUAUUUUUAUUAUUAAAAGCUAUAUAUUACAUAAUGAGAAAAACGAAUAAAUAAUGAACUAAAAUAAUUGUUAAAGAUACACAAACUAAAUUUUACUUUGGCUUUAGAAGUAAUUUUUAAGGGUCUUAGAAUAUUAUUUUUUGAGUUUUUUAUUCAACCUGUUCUACAUAUAUUUUGAUUUACUCCACCUAUAUUUCAAAUAUGUAUUGGAAAUGUCUUAAGCUUGUGCUUAGAGUACAAAUGCCACUCGGUCACCACCAUUACGAAAGCAUAACAAAUAUUUGAAAGUAAUGCAUGAUCAUUUACGAAAGCAUAACAACAACUCUGUUAUACAUUUUUUUUCUAAGUAUGUUAUAAAUUUUCAACACUUUUGAAAUGUGCGUACAUAGAGAGGGUGUUAUCAUGCCCAAAGCGUACAUGUAUGUACAUAUAUUGUUAAAUCUGUUAAUGCUCCUGAAAUGUUAGACGCACAUUUUACUACAUUGAACGUUCAUUGGACACAGAAGAGCUCAUAUAUGAAUUACAUCGUUUUUAAUCCUUAUUUAGAUGUAGUAUUUUUAAUUUUGUUAUGAAAAUAUGUGCUAGCAUGUGAAGCCAAUCUUAUUGAUUUAAUGAGAUGUGAUAAAUUUGAUAAAUAAGCAUUUUAUAGAGAGUUUCAAAACCAUAUCAAAAUCCAUUAGAGUACUCAAAAGUUUAAAAAAGAAGGAAAACAACAUCGAUACAUAAGCAUUAUUCAAAAAGUAUUGCAUUCAGGUAAUUCAUCAUCUUCACUUAAGCCACUCGUCCUUCUUGGUCACCUUGGUAGUUGCAAUUGCUAGCCUUUUGGAGGUGAGCCCACUUGAAGAUGUUCUCACAGUUGCUGAUUUCCAACGAUCUUACCACUUACGUCCACCUUUUGGAGGUGAGACCACUUGAAGAUGUUCCCACAAUCAAUGUUCUCCCCUGCGUUAGUCUCUUUGUCGAAAAAUAUAUUGCUCCCUGACGUGGCGUUCAAGAACAACCGUCCUGCAAAAAGAAAGCAAUGAUUUUUGUUCCAAGAAAUAUUAUGUUCGUCCUACUAAUCAUAAAACAGAGAAUAAGAGGAAGAGCAAGACACUAAUAUAGUGAUUCUAAUUUUAAUAAAAAAUACACCUACAAUUUACCUUCUUUAGCGGAUCUUUGUCAAGGUCAAUCUCAUAAACAUGUUCAAAACCAAACCCGAACCAGUAGCAAGUAGAUUCAUGUAACCACAAAGAAAAAUAAAGCUUGUUCCAUCAGCCAAUGCAAAGACUGUGUGUUAAUGUUUAUGAAAUGAAGCUUGUACCUUAUUUGUUAAAUCCUUCUUCAGCGCUCUCGUUUCAGCAACCUAUAACUCCCAUCCGUCAUUACCCCCAAGAUGUUAAACUUUGGAAUUGUACUUGUUCAAUUUGUUGAUGAGCUCCACAUACUUAAAUCUAAAUCUGUUGUGCUCUGAACCAUAAAAGAUCUAUUUCUAUCAUUCUCUUGUUCCUCCUACUUCAAUACAGUUCAAAACAGCUUGUUAGAAGUCAUCAAAGAGGCACUUGUUACAAAUUGUAAAACGUAAACAAAAUCAAAAUUAUUUAUUACAGCUUACCUUAGAGCUUCGAUCUGCACUGGGAAACAUAGACUCGGCUGUCUUAAACUUCACAGCUCUACAACCAUAACUUAACAGUGUUUUAAGAGAGCCAAAGACGAAGAAACUGUUAGAGAUAAUUGGCAAAAAAAAAAAGCAGAGUUUUUAUUUAACUAUGUGAUCUCCCCUGUUGUAGGAAACUAUUGUUAUUAGUUAAUGUCUAAGGCUCCUGUUUAAUUGGAAAAAAAAAAACAGAAUAUAUGAACGUACCAUGAUCUGAGCUGCCUGCGAGGAAGAUGUCCGUCCCUGAAGCAGAAUACUAAAUGAUCAGAACUGAUUGGCUAAAAAUGUACUACCAGAAUCAGGCACAAGCCACACACCUCUGUUAGAAGUCAUCUUAGGCUCUUGGCCCAUACUGGAACAAUGGCUUUAGCAUUAAUCCAUCCGCAAACGUCCUCCAGAAGCGCACAACUUGUCUAGCAGCUGUUUUGAUUCUGCUCUUUAGCAUACAAUAUGAGUGAUGACGUAACCUCAAUUCCAAUUACAUUUAGUCAACAUGCACAAAAAAGAUUCAACUACUCUAAAACUGAGAAAAUCUUACCAUUUUAGCGAUGACGCCUCUACAAUCUUCAUCAAUUGCUCUCUUCAUGACAGAGUAGUUUGUACUGGGUGGAUCCAUCCCAAUGACGAAAGGUUAAAACCAACAGAUUCCCCUUUCUUUAACCUGUUGAUCGAUGUCAGAGACAAACAGUUCUCUUGAUUACAUCUUCCUUCUGAGCCAAGCUGGUUCUUUUGUUCACUCUUCUCCUCCCUUGGCCAAAGCUCCUUCCCUGCAGCAACCGGUAAAAAGGAGAUACCCAAUAAUCACAAAACUUAUACCCAAUCAAGUAAUCAACAGGAAACUAUUGCACACAUCUCUUUCACGUUUUUAGCAAGAUAAUAUACCAAUCUCAAGCCAUCUGAAGAAUGUUUCCACAGAAAUAAUGUUUACUUUCUGGUUAAAACUUAAAAAAAACUGACAUACCAAAAAGAAAAUUUGCAACCAUGUUCUCUAAGUGUAACUGAAUAAAGCAAAAGAAAACAGCUAAUACCUAUAACUGAACAAACCACACACAAAGAGUAAAACUGCUUCUCAUACAAUGAUUGAUCAAGCGAUAGACUCACAGAACACAUAAAGCUCGAAACUUUCUGUUAUCUGUUAACACACAAAGCUUAUUCAACAAACCAACAAAACACACACAAAAGGUCAAAACUUUAUAUAUACCGUUCAGUACGAAGUGAUACCUUGAAUCUACAUGACUCUCCACAUCCCAUAGGAACGAACCAAACGUCACAGCCUCCAACACAAGCCUCUUCAGUCCCUUGAAACUGAUCUGUAUAUGCUCGUCCUUGGACAGUUCAUUCCAUUUCCGCCGAUAACGGGACCGGAAGAAGCACCGGUUUUGCCGUGUGUUUGGAUCAGACAUUGCGAUCCAGCCGUUGCACCUCUGGAUCUCACCGGAUUUACAACGCCAGAUGAGAUGUCAGUUUUAGAUACGGAUUUGAUCGGACUCUUCGAUACAGCCGCUCUACCUGUGGAUUUCAUUGAGCCGUCGCCACCGGAAGAGACACCUAUUUGAGAGAUGGGCUUGUCGGCAUUGGAGGUGUUCGCCGCAUCAUCGUUCCUCUUCAAUGAGUCGGAGACGUCGGAUACCUUCAUCGCAAUGAGCAGUUGAGAGGAUAGAACAGUUUUAGAUCCAAAAAACACAUCGAUCAAGAGCUCUAUAUAGAAUCGCGGACGGAGAAAGCGAUAACUAUCUAUUAAUGAGAUUUAAAGCUCGGAGGAGUGGGGGAAAUUGAUUGCCCGCGUUAAAGAUCUGUGAAACGGAGAAGAUGAAGAGAAAGUGGGAUCGUUAGAACGAAGAAGAAAAGAAGUAGGGGAUCGGAAAAUCAAUCAGGAGGCUUCACCGAAGCAUGUGCUCUCCGGGUCUCAAAUUCCAAACAUUAACGGGCCGUGAGGAUGAGAGGCCCAAAUGCAGAGCGCAGCGUGUCUGACGUGGCUCAAGGAUGGUUUCCUAUCGGCUGAUUAUUUUUGAGGAUGUGGAAGCAUGAGGGGAGCCCUUAUUCCCCUUUUAGUAUAGUAUAGAUACUCUAACAAAUUACAAUGCUUUUGAACCAGAAUUAGUUUAACAACGAUUAGCAAACAAACUACCAAUUAAUAAGCUUUGACUAAAUGAUUAAAGUUUAGGAGCGGUUAUCCAGCUAAGAACUAAAAACCAAAAUAAAAAGGGAAGAUGCCAAAAGAGGCAGCAAGCAUCAAAACAUCAUCACACCAACGGCAAAUAAACGUGUCAAUAACAGUGAAAACAUUCAGGAAUAUUUUAUAGAUUUUUUUGAUCUGCAGUUUUACAACAAGCAACAUCUCAGUGAGAUCUACGAAGAGUUUUUGGGGUUUCUUUUAGGCAGCUUUAGCUGUGUGAGAAGAAAAGCUCCAUGACCCUAGAUCUUGGAAUAAAGCAACUAGAUCUCUAACAUCUUCACUCUCUCUCAUCUCUUGGAGCCAUAAUUGCUCGUGGAAUCUCUCCACACCCAUUUCUUCUUCUGCACCAUGUCUCCUGGAUGCACCUUUACCUUCUGAUCUCCUUUUCUUCUUCAUCACCUUCCUCCUCUUGUCAUGAUCUGCCAUUCUUCAACAUAAAAAGAAGAGAAACAUAAGUAAAAAAGAAAUAAACAGAGUAGAUCUCAAGAAAAAAGAUGAAGAGAGGAAACAUAUUUUACUCUUUGGUGAGAGAUAGCUGCCGAGAGAUCCCAGAGAUGCAAAGAGGGAAGCCAUAGUUGCCACUAAGAGUUGUUGAAAGCAUUUCUUUUCCUCUGUAGAUUCAAGAAUUUGGGAGAGACCUAAAGAAAGAGAAACAAAAGACAAUAUAUUGAAUUGGGAAAGGAUUAAGGAGUCUAUAGAUUAUAUAUAGUCGUACUAUGUAGUUAAUACUAUCCACUUUGGUAUUGUAAUAAACGAGAGAUAAGACUUUUGUCUUGUUGUCUGUGCAAUUAAUUAGUAGUAGCAGUAGGUAUAGUAUCUUCUUGUUCACCCAUUCAAAUGCAUUAAGAUACUUGACUAAAUCUUUCAUUAAGGUAGAGUAUUGAUAUUUUUAUUAUAAUACUCAGUUUUAGUGUAGUUUAAUUAAAGAAACUACUUUUAUAACUUUUUAUUUUUUUAAUUAUUUGGAAUAUAUCAAAUUACACAAUAAACAUAUCUAAUUGUAUUAAUUAGUGAAACUUAACUAAUAUCAAUUGAAAAUAAUAGUACGGCUGAAUAUACAAUUCCGACCAGUCACAUCCUAUGAUUUCAGUAGCGGUGAAAGUAAAAAUAUCGGUUUCACUUUACCGCUUUUCUCCUCAUGAGUCCCAUGACAAUUGACAACCCAAAGUUUUGGAUUCUUCUCUUCUUUCUCCUUUUUAACUUUUUUUUCCUUCUCUUCUCUCACUUGCAUUUGAUAAAAUUAGGACAAGGACAAUAACGCUUUUCAGUUUUCCUUUUUCUUCGCGAGAAUCAAUGCAGUCUCGAUUGUUAAGUCCUCAACUUGUUCUCUAAAACCAACUUGUUUAAGAGUUCCUUGUUUAAUAACGUUAAUUCCACCUUUAACUUCUAUAUCAAGCAGAGUUUUAAACACAGCCACGUUAGUUUUGACGUCACUGUCACCAUUUAUUACACAGUAUGAAAGACAUAUCAAGCAGAACCAUCAUUCAUCCAAUACCAUUUAAUAGAAUUGAUGAUUGUAACCAAUCUUGCAAUGUUUUGCAAGAGAGAAAAAGACUACUAAAAUAAUAUUGUGAUAGUAAAAAAUUUCAAAGAAUGUUUUAUUGAGAUUAUACGUACAAAUAGAAUGUGUAAAUCUUAGUUGGUAUGGAUAAGUGCCAUAGCGAUACAAUGGCUCAAGUUGUGCCACAGAGUGACAAUCCAGGAGCUACUCGGAGUACAAAGUACCAACCAUUAUACAAGGAUCAGACGUCAAUGUUUUUUGAGACCUUGAUGCAAAAACCAAGGUCUUGAUGUCGCAAUUUCCCUCCAUAUGCAUAUGAAACCUUGCUAGAUUUUCGCCACUGUCAGUGAACGUUGUAUAUAUGUUUGUAACAUCUGAGAACAAAUGCAAAACCAAGAGCUCAAAUAAAUUGAAGAGCAAAACCUAUACACAGAUAUUAAAAGAAAUAUAAUCAAAUUGAUAGAGCACCUUGGAGGUGAAAGGUAAUGUCAAAUAAUUGGACAUGACGUGAAAACGAUGACCUCACUUGGGAUAAUAGUUCAUUUGAUUGUAGCCACAAAGAAAGCGGCAAACUAAACGACAACCAAAGAGCAACGAUUGUGAUAGUAUAUUCUCUCUUGAAAACCAUUGGAUAUAUAUACAUGGAUGAGAUGAAUCUAAUAGAGUGUUUACACUUACACACAUAUAUACAGAAUCAUCAUGAGUGUUUUCUUGCUUCUUCAAUGGCUUGGAAACUGCAAAUAAAGGUUCGCUUCGCAGGAGAGAUAGCGCCAUCACUUCUUCUUAAGAGUUUAGAAGAUGGUGACGGUAUCUCUCCUACGUAGCAAUCCUUAUAUAUGCAUCUAAAAGCAGAGAAAUACAGUUGGAGUUUCAAGGUAAUUCGGUUAAAUCAUUAUACAGUUUAAUAUUGUAUUAUUACCUUUCACUCUAACAAAUGAUGCAUACCAUUUCAGUUCCGUAUUUGUUUUUCUUUCUUUAAGUAACAUGGUCAUCUAUAUAUUGUUUGCUUUUAGUUUCAAAAAACAUGGUCAUCUAUAAAUAUUAUAUUUGUACUCACAUUGCGAUAAGUUAAAGGAUUGGUCACUACAUGACCUUGGCUUGAGCCUCUGGAUCACCUUACUAUAAAUGACAAUCUGGUUCCUGCUCUUUUCUCAAAGUUGUUUUUGUCUUAAUCUGUUUAGUUUUCUCAUUGGCGUGCUCUUGAAUAUUAGCACAUCCUCAGUCUGAAAACUACAAGAAAAGCUUAUCAACGUAUGAAUUGUAUUGCAGAAUACACAUUUUUGGGGUUUGAUUCUCUCACCCACUAGAGAAAAAGUAUUUUCUUUAGUUUUUUUGUUUGUUUGUCUUUGACAAGGGGCCUAUUGAAAGGUUUAGACGAAAAGGUUGACAAUUCUGUGAAUACUAUCAACAUCAUGCGCUCAAAGGUUAUAUAGUUUCCACUGGAAGCAAAAAGCGAAUUCAAUAAGACCAUCUCCAAAGACUCAAGAAUCUUCACUAAGUAGAUCAAGGAAAAUCUAGUUCUAAGUUUUUGAAAUACAAAAAAUAUCAGACUUGUACACAAGAACGUACCACAUAUUUAGUAACCUGCGAUGACAAUUUAUGACAUGUAAUAUCCUCAAAGUAGCCAUAGAUGUGGAAGUAGUUAUAAUUAUUAGUGAAACUUUAGCACAAAAGCUACACGUCAAGAUUUUCCAAACAACAACAUUAAAAAGCUAAAGUAUCCUCCAGAUUUCCCAUUCUGCCAUUUACGUACCACCUUGUUGCUUAUAUUGGAGCAAGAGAGCGAUGGAAAAUAAAAAAAACCUGCUCGGCCCAUAAUAACGACUGAAUCACAUUUUAGCCCAUAAAGAUAUUUUUAUGAUAUAUAAUUUUUGUUUUAACUAUAAAUCAACGUGAAGAAGGUUAACUGUAUAAGAGAAGAAUCUGUGUAUUGUUUAAAAUACAACUGUAGAAAUUAUAGAUACAUAGAUAAUUACUGAAUCGAAUAGCACGGGAAUAGAUAUGUUCUUCUAGAAUGACCUUUUACAUUUAGAUAUCAAUAUUUUAUGGAAUUCAAUUUAUAUUACCUACCAAAUUUGACCGAGUAAUGGGGUAUGCAUACGAAUAUGAAUGCACAACCCUAGUUGAAAAAAAGUAAUACUUCCAAAUUGCAUUGAGAUACUAUAAACCGGCAAAUUAGAAAGCAAAUAGAAGAAAAGUAUUAUAAACCGGGCCGGUUGAUCCAACGGCUGGUGUUUAGAUUAGAAGACCAACGAAACGUCACCGUUUAGAUUGUAAAAUCUAAAUAGUGGGUGGAGAGAGAAAGAAAGAAAAAAAGUCAAUUAUAAAAAGGGAUUAUAAAAAAAAAGAACGCGUCAACUUUUCGUAGUGGUGGUGGUGGUGGGGGGACUUAGGGAUCAGACCGUGCACGUGACCGCACGGAAACUAAACCCGGACGUAUUGCGCGUGACUAAACCGGAUUAGAUUAAUCGACGACUGGUCCGGCUACCCUUUUCUUUUGUGUGCGUUUCCUCUCCCAGAGAUUGAGAGAAGAUCGAUCUUUUUUUUCUUCUUUUUCCUUAUUCCUGGGUGGAAAAUCUUAUCGACCUAAUAGAAAGCCCUAAUUUCUCAUCAGUCUCCGAUCCCUUUUGGUUUCUGUUUUAAUUUUGUGAAAUUUAGAACAGAGCUUUUUGCUUCUUGUUUGUGUCUGGGUGGUUCACGACAUGGAUUUGGAAGCUAGCUGUAAGGUAUUUUAUUUGUCUGAGAGAUCGGUGCUUUAUAUGAUGCGUUGUGGUUUGAUAUAUAACGGAUGUUUUCAAGAAAGCUUUGAUUUGAAUUCAGUUUAUUCUUUACGACUAUGAGUGUUUAAAACGAGAUGUUCUCAAAGUUUAGUUCUUUUGGUUGUUGUUGUUGUUGUGUUGCAGGAGAAACUUUCAUCUUUUAGGAUAAAAGAGCUCAAGGAUGUGCUCACUCAGCUUGGACUUUCGAAACAGGGGAAGAAACAGGUUAUCAUCUUUCUGCUGAUUGUGUUUGUGGCUCUCACAGGGCACUGCUUAAAUAGUCGUGGUGCCAACUUGGAGUAUUGCCAUUGUGAAUGAAGUAUCUGUUUUUUUUUUAACUCCUUUUGAUUUUUUUUUUUCGUUAACAGGAUCUUGUUGAGCGGGUUUUGACGCUUCUUUCUGACGGACAAGGUUAAUUGAAACGCUUCUCUUUUGUUUAUUCAUGUCUUUGGUGUAUUAAAACUCACUUCUCGCUUCGUUUCAUUUGGACAGCCGCCAGGUUGUGGUCUAAAAAGAAUACAAUGGCGAGGGAAGACGUUGCAAAACUAGUGGAUGAUACAUACAGGUGAGGGAUCGUUUCUUUCAAUGGAUUUCUUGUUGAAUUGCGGUUCGUUAUUACCACAAUGUUUUUUUUUUUUUUUUGUGUUCCGUAGGAAAAUGCAAGUAUCUGGGGCAAGUGAUUUAGCAUCAAAAGGACAAGUAAGUUCAGAUACUAGUACUCUGAAAGUCAAGGGGGAGCCUGAAGAUUCCUUUCGACAAGAAGUGAAAGUUCGAUGUGUUUGUGGAAGUUCACUGGAGACUGACUCAAUGAUACAGGUAAAUCUAGAGAAAAAAACUCUGUGCGUCUAUUGCUGUUUGGCUGAUGUUCAUAUCACUUUUGUGAUGCUGAAAAUUAUGUUCUCUUCUUUUAUUUUCGAUUUCAGUGUGAGGAUCCUAGAUGCCAUGUUUGGCAGCAUGUUGGCUGUGUAAUUGUCCCGGAAAAGCCAAUGAAUGCAAAUCCGCCACUUCCUGAAACCUUUUAUUGUGAAGUCUGUCGACUUACCCGAGCUGACCCGUAAGUAGUGUUUUCAUAGAAGUUGGAAUCUUGUGUAAAAUCUCAAUUGUUACUUUUUUUACAUUAACAACUUUGGCUAUCCAUUAGGAUUGUGUUUCACGGUUGUGUCUCCUACAUGGUUUUCCUUGGGCAGGUUUUUGGUUACAGUGGCACAUCCACUUUAUCCAGUGAGGUUGACUCCAACUACCAUCUCAUCUGAUGGGUAAGAACUUCUUAUUUUCCGUAUUGCUCUCAUUAUAGACGUUAAUAUUGUUAUUUUUUUUUAAUAUUUAGAAAGCGAAGUACUAGAUAAGCUUAUCCUAGAUGGAUACAUCACCAUCCGUUUCAUCGUGCAUUAUAUAUGUUCAUGUUUUUAUUUCCUCAAACGAUCUAAGUAUCAAAUCACGGCUCUGCUAGUCAGUUAACUUUCAACUAAUCACAUUUUUUUCCGUAGCUAGAUGCGCACCUACUGAAAUAAAACUGUUACCACCUUUUGUUUAUUCUAAUGCUCCGAUCAAAACUUUUCCAGUACAACCCCAAUGCAGAGUGUUGAGAGAACAUUUCAAAUCACAAGGUCAGACAAGGACUUGUUGGCCAAACAAGAGUACGAUGUUCAGGUUGGGUUGGUUUUGCAGAAGUACUCAAACAUGUAAAACUGUACCUACGUAAACGUUUCUAACUGGAAUUUUACUUUUGUUCAGGCGUGGUGUAUGCUUUUGAAUGACAAAGUUGUCUUUAGGAUGCAGUGGCCCCAAUUUGCUGAACUACAGAUCAAUGGUAUGACUGUGACAUCCUCUCAAAUAGGGAAUGUGUUAGUUUUCUUGUUAUUCUGAUUGUAUUCAAUAAGAAUGCUUUAUAUUUUCUGAUAUGCGAUUCAUGAUACACCUUAUCAUUUCAUAGGUAUGCUUGUACGCACAAUUAGCCGACCUGGGUCACAGCUUUUGGGGGCCAACGGCCGCGACGAUGGACCUACUGUAUGUUUUUUUUUAUCCCUAAUCCUUUUGACUGAAAUAUAGGAGUAGAUCUCUUACAUUGAAAGUCUUGGAAUCAGUAGUGUAAUUUGUUACCAUCUCAUUUUGCUAUUUUGGCAGAUAAAACCUUAUAUUAAGGAUGGGAUUAACAGAAUAAUCUUGAGCGGAGGUGACAGUCGGAGAUUUUGUUUUGGAGUUAGACUUGUGAAGCGCCGGACUCUACAACAGGUACUGGUGACAGAUAUUGCAUGAGAAAUAUUCGAAAUGUUUGGCCGGUCUAUGGCGGGUAAUAAAGACAUAAAUGUUCAAAAAAAAAACAUAAGGAUCUUUUGAAUAUAGAAAGCACGAAAUUAAAUUGGCACUGGCAACUUACUUUCCCACAAAAUAUGUUCGGAUUUCAAAAUUUCCUGUCCUGUCCUUCUGUCCUCUAUUUCAUUCAGAUAAGUAACUGAUCGUGGUCUUGUGUGAUACAUGGUUUGCUAGAUUAAGCUUUUUUGUAUUGCAAUUGCUAGCUAAUGUGUUGUCUGUCUGAAUGCUCAGGAAUUCAGUUAUAGUUAUCCAAGUGGCUUCAAACUAACUCACUUUUCCCAUCUAGGUUCUAAAUUUAAUUCCAGAAGAGACUAAAGGGGAGACGUUUGAAGAUGCUCUAGCACGUGUACGACGCUGCAUUGGAGGUGGAGGUGGAGAUGAUAAUGCGGACAGUGAUAGUGACAUUGAAGUUGUUGCUGAUUUCUUCGGUGUCAACCUCCGGUGUCCUGUAAGUUACUAAUAGCUUGUAGCUCAGUUUUCAUACUUGUUGCAGUCAAGUAACUGAUGCUUACUAUCUUCCUAGUGUAUUUGGUGCUGUUUGUGUGUUUAAUUGUCUUUCUGUUUGUCAUUAGAUGAGCGGUUCUAGGAUAAAAGUUGCUGGGAGAUUUUUACCCUGUGUGCACAUGGGCGGGUUUGACCUUGAGGUGUUUGUGGAGUUGAAUCAACGUUCCAGAAAGGCAGGUUUCUUAUCCUUGUCUAAACAUUUGGUUAUUCAUCUUGUUUUCUGACUUUGUUUGUUCUGUUGCCUUGUUAACAUGCAGUGGCAGUGCCCUAUUUGUUUGAAGAACUACUCAGUUGAACAUGUAAUCGUGGAUCCUUAUUUUAACCGUAUCACUUCUAAGGUAUACUUUUGGGGAAUACACUAAAAAUUAAUGAAUCUUUGUAUCCACGUCAUUGAAUUAUUCUCUUCCUGCACGACAGAUGAAGCAUUGUGAUGAAGAUGUGACUGAAAUUGAAGUGAAACCUGAUGGUUCUUGGCGUGUAAAGUCCAAAAAAGAGAGAGAGCUCUCUCAGUGGCACUUACCCGAUGGUAGCCUUUGCCCCUCUGCUGAUGAGGUUAAGCGGAAGAUGGAAACGUUGAUUCCGGUUAAACAAGAAGGUUUCUCAGAUGGUCCAACUCCUCUGAAACUGGGCAUAAGGAAGAAUCGCAAUGGUGUUUGGGAAGUUAGGAGACCUAAUACAAAUGGCCUUUCUUCCAGUAAUAAGGUUGGGUAUCAGGACAAGAAUGUUAUACCGAUGAGUAGUAGUGCUACUGGAAGUGGUCGUGAUGGUGAUGAUGCAAGCGUAAGCCAGGAUGCUAUUGGAUCCUUUGACUUUGGAACCAAUGGCAUCGAACAUGAUUCCAUUUCCAUGAAUGUCGAUUCAAGUUAUAACAUUCCUGACAGAAACCAAGCUGGAGAGGAUGUAAACAAUGAUGUUAUUGUUCUAAGUGAUUCUGAUGAAGAUAACGAUGUAGUAAUCACUACUCCUGGACCUUCAUACAGUGGUUGUCGAGCCGAUGGUGGGGUAAAUUUUCCGUUGAACCCUUCUGGUAUCAUCAACUCAUAUAACGAGGACCCGCACACCAUGGCUGGGGGAAGUUCACGCUUAGGUGGUUUCAACGAUGACGAUGAGUUUGUUACGCCCCUUUGGUCAUUUCCUUCUGAAACUCCAGAAGCCCCUGGGUUCCCACUGUUCGGAUGUGAUACUGACGUUUCAGAAGGUUUACUUGGUUUGCAUCAUCAUGGCGGCCCACUAAACUGUGGUCCUGAAAUAAAUGGAGAUUAUACCAUGGCUCCUGAGACAUCAAUGGCAUCUGAAGCAGUGGCGAACGAUGGAGGCCUAGUUGACAAUCCUCUUGCAUUUGGUAGAGACGAUCCUUCACUUCAAAUAUUUUUGCCAACGAAACCAGAUGCUUCAGCUCAGAAUGGUUUUAUAAACCAAGCUGAUAUGUCAAAUGGUAUCCGCAGUGAUGACUGGAUCUCGCUAAGGCUAGGCGAUAGCGCUGGUGGGAAUCAUGGAGAGUCUACUUCUGCAGACGGGCUCAACUCAAACCAGCAGAUGUCGACAAGGGAAGGUUCUAUGGAUGCUACGACAGAGACUGGUGCGUUCCCUGACUAAGACAAAUUAUAUAUGCUUUCCUACAACCAUCAAGGGCCCUGUAAAUGUGGAUCCUUUUCAUGAUGUUGCGUUUCUAGUUUUCUUCAUUUUAUUGUAAACAAUGGAUGGAGAAAGAAGAUCUGUUUUAGUUUCUAAAUGUAGCUUUAGCUAAUCAUUUAUCUUUGACGAUGUCCAUUCUAUCUGUACUAGUCCAUGUGGUACACUUACUGACUGUUAGUGCGUAUUUGCAGCUUCGUUACUUUUGGGUAUGAAUGACAACAACAAGGCAAAGAGGCAAAGAUCAGAUAAGCCAUUUUCAUUUCCUCGCCAGAAGCGUUCUGUAAGACCUCGGAUGUUCCUCUCCAUUGACUCAGAUUCUGAGUGAUAUUUUGUUCUCUUCUCUCUCUCUCGGGAUGAUUCGGUGUUCCUUUUGAUUCUUAUUGCUAUGCACAGAACAAUCUACAUGAUCAUCAGACAGCAUACCGGAGUUAGCCAUGAUUUGCCUUGAUUCUCUGUGCAGUCAAGCAUCGAAUUGGUAGUGACUAUUUAUCUCUUUAUGUUGGUGAUUCUCUUCAGUAACGGUUCAGAAUCUUUGGCAAAGCAAAGCACAGAGGGUGAUUUAGUUUUACUUAAUAGGCAGAAAAAGUGGGCAUAGGUGGUUCCGGGUUAAGUAUACUCGAAUAGUUUUUUCUUAAUUAAUUAUUUUCUGGAAGAUUAUAAAAAUUAUUUGGGUGCCAGAAGCUAUAGAGGCAUGUAACGUUGUAAAUUAUGGGCUCCCUAUUUUUUUUUUAUUAUAAAAAUCAGCUCUUAUUGUGCAAUAAGUUUUCAGCAUCCUUCUGGCCAAAGCCAGAAUUAUUUUUACGGUGUCUUCCCCCCCACCCCCAACACCCAAACAGAAGUAACUCUGAUUUGAUAUAUCAGGAAACUUCUGGAAAAUACGUUUUGGGGGUAAAUCCCAUGUGCUAACGAAUCUUUAUUAGUAGUAAAUACAUCACAAUGCAAGUUACGUAGUAGCAAUUUGAAACAGCAUCAAAAUACCAACUGGUCGCUAUAUUUAGCAGAACAGAGAAUGAUAGAAACACAGAAAAUACUCGGGUGUGUGAAACUAAAAAGAAAAAUGUUAAAAAAAAAAAGAAUUACUCCUGGAUCCGUAGAAAAUAAAAUAAAAAAUUAAGUGGAGUGAAGAAAGUCACUUUCUGUUGCUUGUUGAUUGUUUGUGGUUUUUGAUUUGGUUUUUGGUUUUAGUUUUUCUAAAAACUAGUUUUAAACCAUUUAAGAAUCAGUUCAAAAAAAAAAAAGAUUUUGACAAAAUAGUUUCCCUAUAAAAUAGGGAAUCUGGUUUUUGAAUUAAAAGGAAAAACCAGAAUCUGUAUGUUUUAGAAUUUUCUCUUUCAAAUCUACGGCAACUGUUUUAAAAAAUAAUUUGUUUAUGUUUUUGUUGGUAAAUAAUUCAGGUACAAUAUAUCUGUAUUUAUUCAACACAUUACUAAUACUGAUCUACGUGAAGAUAUGCCUCUUUUAUAAACAAAUAUUUCUUUUUAUAUGUAAGAGCCACAUUUAUUUAACAAAAGGUCAUGAAAACAAAUCUUUAAAAUAAUAUUCUUCUUUAAAAAGUAAUUUAUUGAAUUAUAAUAAAAUUAAUAAUUAUUUAUAACUAAUAAAUUUUGUUAAAUUUAUAUACAGUUUACAAUACAAAAUAUUAAUUAAGACAUUAUAGUGUAUAUCAAAGGUUAUGACAAGUAUUUAUUUAUUUACUAAAUAAAUAUUUAUAAUUGACUGAUUAUAUAGAUUCGUUGAAUAAUUAAUAUAUGCUAUUAAUUUUAAAGAGAAAAAAUACAACGGAACAAUAGUAGGUUCAUAUACUUCUUGAAAUAUAUUAAAUUGAAAUGCAAAAAAUAAAUUGGCAUAUUGGUCUUUUAAAAAAUGAGAGUAAAAUAAGAAUUAUAAACAAAAAUAUAAAUACAUUUUAUUUAGCUUUUUGAGUUAAAAUAUUAUGUGUAUUUCCCUGUAAAUAUAAACUUAAAUAUAUUUUAAAAUACAGCCAUUAAUUUUUAUAAUAUUUUGUUUUGGUGUUUUUAUUUUUAUUUUUAAAUAAAUUUAUAUUAGUUUAAUUUUAGUGAUACUUAUGAUAUUUUUAUUUUUUUUGUUUCUAAAAAUAUUUUAUCAUUAAUGAUUUAUUUUAAUCUAAAAAACAAAAACCAAAAUACAAUCACCAAUCAAGUUUUUCAAAAAGCUAAAAUCUACAGCAAAAUUAAAACCAAAAAAAAAAAAACUAAAAUCCAAAAACUAAAAUUUAAAAACUAAAAACCAAAAACUACAAUCUAAAAACCAAAUAAACAAUCAUCACCUAAUUACACUCGGGUUUUAGUCUUUACUGUAAAUGUAACAUUUUCACAACUUGUAUUUUUAUCUUGGCCAUAGCCAAUAAUACUCAGUAGUCAAUUUUUGGUUCAGAUUCAGAUCAUAUCUUUCUAUACUUUCUUUUGGAUUUUUUUUAAAAGUACAUCUUUUAUAAUACCACUUUUAAAUUUUUGUUAGUUAAUUACUAUUUCCAAAAACUACAAUAAAACUAAAUAGAAAUUAACCAAACUAUCUUUAGCUUGAAAAUCUUAAAACAUAAAAAACACGUCGUCUUUGCCUCCACUUUGUUUUUUGAGGAAGGGCCUCCACUGCAAGAAGAAAAUGAUAAAUGAUUUCAAAUAGCCUGAAAACAAGUUUUUGUUCCCAAACCAGUCUUCAGAAAUCAAAAUAAUCAAAAUAAGUUUUAUUAUAGAUGUAAAUAACAAUUAUACAUCUCCUCUACAGAUAUAUAUAAACUUAAUAUUUUCUUUUAAUUUUUUUAAAAAAAAUUUGAUUUUUUUUAUCAAUUUUUAUUUCCAAAGCUGUUUUUCAAAUUUUUGUGAGAACAUUUUUUCUUUUCCAAAAUUAUUUUCAGGAAAAAAUGAUCUUAAAAGUGUUGGAAUACAUUUCUAAAUAUGUAUGAUACCUAUUCAAUUUGAAUUUACAAAGGCCUUUAUGAAUAAGUAUAAAAUCUUCCUAAAAUGUAGGAAAAAAUUGAUAAACAUGUAUAAUAUCUUCAUAAAAUUUAGAAUUUUUUUUAUAAAUGUGUAUUUAGGAAAACCUUCAUUAAUAUAUAUUUAUGAAUAUUUUACUGAAUUUGAAUUAUAUACACAUAUAGGAAUAAAUUCCUAAAAUAUACGUAUAAGUUAUAUUCAAAAAAUAUGUUUACAAAUUUAUGAAAUUAUUCAUGAAUUUAUAUUUUUUUUACAAAGUCAGGAAGAUAUCAUCACGUUUAAGAAGGUCUCUAUAAAUAUAUGUUUUUUAAACUUGUUCCCAAAAAAAAUCAAAAAAAAUAUUUCGAUUUUUAUAUUUUGUAUUUUUAAUAUUUAAUAUUUUAAUAUUUAUUUAUUUAUAUUUAUCUAAUAAAUAAUAAAUUAAAAUUAUAAAUGAGUAUAAAAAUAUCAUUUAUACCUUUAAUGAAACAUAUUUGGUCAAUUUGAUUUUUUUGGGGACUAUUUAGGGGAAAAAAGCUAAAAAGAAACUAUUUAAGAGAUUUUGCCAAUAUAUAUCUUACUUUUUAUUAAUUUUAGUUUUAUAACCAUUGAAUCUAUCUUUCUAAUUAAAAUCUGCACAAUUUAUGGUUGCUUGAUUUUUGAGAUAAGAUCUAAGAUAGUUUAUGUGUUAUUUUGAUUUUUCUUAUGUAAUUGCUGAUUUUUUUUUUUUACUGUGAUUUUGGAGAAGAUAAUACAAUAGAAAAGCUUUAGUUCAACAUUUUAUAUAGCUAGUUUCUAAAUACAUAUAGAAUACUUGCAAUAUAGUUUAUAAACAAGACCAUAUAAAAGAUGUAUAAAGUCUAUACAUAAAACCAAAAUAUGUUUAUGUAAUCUUAUAAUAUUUUAUAUACAAACAUUUCUUAUAAAACCUUAUAAACAUAAAUAUAAUGGUUUAUCAUAUCUUAUAAAUGAGUUUAUAAAGUCUUAGGAAAUUGUGUGAAAGUGUUAUACAAUCUUAUUAAAGUCUUAUAAAACAUUCUAAAACUUUAAAAACAGAUUUAUAAAAUUUUAUGUGUGAUUAUAAAUCUUAUAUACAACCAUAUAUAUGUAUAUUAUAAAAAAUUAAUAGAAGAAGUAGACUGACUGAAUUGAGAUUCAAAGUAUAAAUAAUUUAAUGGGUUUACAAUAUUGUAUUACACAUAAUUUACUAAUCUAUACUUUAUGAAAAUGUUCUAUUAUAGGGCACACAAAUCAUUUAUAAUAAGUUAUAAAUCUAGCUAAGUUGAUCUCAAAUUAUCUUAUAAGAAAUUAAGUCGAUUAUAAACUUUGUAAAUCCAUACAAGAGGUUAUAAAUCUUAUGAAACCUUAUAGAUGUAUUACAUAAAAGCGGAAACAUAUUGAUGUACUACAAUAGCUAUGAAUCAUGAUACUGAAAGCAAUAGAAGAAGGUCGCAUAGUGUUGUCUUCUUUAACAAUCAGAUGAAGGAACCAACUACUUUAAAAAGCUCUUCUUCUUCUGAGGACACAUGAGUUGUUAUGCCUUCAUAAUUGGUCUGGACCGUAGCUCAUAAAAAGGAAGCGAGCUUGGUGAGGUCCUGAUCAAUAUUAGAUUGAACAACCAUAUGCGUUGAAGACCACGUUUACAACAGAGGUAAGAACAUUCUGACAAGAAAUUAGACUUAAAUUAUCAAAAAAAAAAAAGAAAUUAGACUUAAACUUGAGCGGACAUAAUCUACCUAACUAGACUAAAACGUUUUCCGACCAUGCACGUGGGUUAUGUUCCUACAUUAAAUAGCAAACAUCUUAUUGCUUAUAACCUUAAACAGAAAUUCAACAUAGUUCUUAUGGCUUGUAGCCCAUUCUAUACGUUGAUACUUUUCACUUAUCUCGCUCAAAUCAUCAAGUAUAGUUUAGUUUUUCCAAAGUACAUGAUGUUAAUCAAGUUUUGGUGACAUAACAUGGCAGAUUCAGGAAAAUUCCCUCUACUUUCAUAUAGUAGAUUGGUUUCUAUUAGUGAUACAAAAAAUAUAUUGUAUAAUGGAAUACAGUUGGUUAAUAUGUUAUUAUAUAUGUAGUAUUGAUGAAUAUAAUUGCAAAAUAACUUAAUUUUUGAGUUUAAAUGCUUUUGUAAAAAUACUAGUUUUUUGUCAAUUGAUACAUUUAAAAGUACUCUAAUUUUAUUGAUAUUUCUUACACCAUCAUAUAUGUCAAUUUAUUUAGAAAGAAAUUUUUAUCAUUUAACAAAUACGGAAAUAUCACAUAUAAUGAGGUGGCGGAUUUUAUUACAUUGUACCAAGUGAAAUGAAAAUACUAUAGUCAAAUAAAUAUACAUUUCAUACCUUAUACAAUGGAAUAUAAAGAUAUUGCAAUAUCUCAAAUUGGAAAAAAAUAAUAUUUAAUCAUAGAAUAUAAUAUUUUAGAUUUGAUAUUACUCUUAGAUAACUCUUAAUAUUAAUUGUUGGUAUGUAAUAUUUUGCUAUAAAUAAAUGAAAGUUGCAAGGUAAACAUCGAUUCAUAUUUUCUUUUCCAAAUACCAAAAAACAUGGCAAAAAAAAGUAAAGGUCGCCAGAGGAUCACAAUGGCCAAGAUGGAAAAUGAGAGUAACCUUCAAGUUACUUUUUCGAAAAGAAGAUCCGGCCUUUUCAAAAAAGCUAGUGAGCUUAAUACACUUUGUGGUGCAGAUAUCGCCAUUGUUGUGUUCUCACCUGGUGGAAAAGUCUAUUCUUUUGGUCACCCAAGUGUGGAGAUCGUGCUUAACCGGUUCAAAAAUAUCAACCAGCCAACUCUUAACCAAAACAACAACAUGCGACUUAAUGAAGCGCGUCCGAAUGAUGCCAUUCGGGUUAUGAACGACUUUCUUACUCAGGUGACUUUUAUCGUAUUAUUCAAUAUAUUAUUAUGUUUUAUAUAAAUGACAAAAACCCUAAUGUUGAGUUCAAAUAUAUUUAAUAUUUAUGUACAUGUUAGUUUUGACAAAUAACUAAUAUAAUAUACAGUAAAGUUAUGUGUGUUUCUCUGUAUAUAAAAUAUAUUCGUGUACUGGCGUGUAAUAAUGUAGAAAUUAAUGUCAUAUUAUAUAUGUAUUGAUAUAUGUAGACAGUGUUAUCUAAUUCUCUUAAUAUAAACAUACAAGUUUAUUUUGGAGGAAUUAAUAAGAGAUUCUACCAAAUAUAUUGUUUUGAAUUGAAAAUAAAUUAUUUAAUAUUUGCAGGUGAUGAAUGAUUUGGAAUUAGCAAAAAAGAAAAAUGAAGAAUUAAAAAAAAUAAGAAAAAACUCGAAAAUGCCUGUGAAUUGGUGGGAAGAUCCCGUUGAAGAACUUGACUUAGCUCAUGCCAAAGAGUUUAAAAGUUUACUGGAAAAGUUGAAAAGUUAUGUUACAGAUGAGGCCUCGAAACAUUUCCAAGCAAUCUUUCCUCAGCCAAACUUCUAUGGCGGAAGUUCCAGUGGUGCUCCUUUUAGGGAUGGUGGUUAUAUCAACCCUAAUUUGGACCCGAGUGAAAGAAGAAUGUUCAACGUGAAUGCAUACUACAACCAGAACAUGUAUCCUCCUAAUUAUCCAUUACCGUAUGGAAACAAUAAUUAUGCGGGAGGAUUUGUUCCAGAGUACAAUUUAAACUACAUGCAUGGGUUUAAUCAGUACCGAAACCAAAACCAAAAUCUGAGUUUUAAAGAAGAAGGCAUCUCCGAGAAUGAAUGCCAUCAAGAUGGCCCUCCUCCUCAUCUUUGAUCUGAUUGUGACUGGUCAUUUCUAUAUGAACCAGUGGAGUAUCUAGACAAAAAAAUGUUUUAUCCUCAUUUCUUCUUAGUAUGUUGUGUUUUUCUCCUUUCAUAGUAUGUUGUAUUUUUCUCAGAUUUGGUGUCUUUUGUUUUCAAUAAAAACAGAUUUAUUUUUCUCAAAAUACACAUGAAAAUUUAUCGUGAAAAGAUACCAAGUAUAAAUAAAUUGUCUUACAUUGUCUUUUGUAUCCAAGGAAAUGUAUAAUAGAUACUACACUAUUUUAUAAGAAUAUAAAGACUAUAAAAUUCAAUGAAAUAAUAUUAAAGAAAAUAUAAUAGAUGAAAGCAAAAUCCUCCAUAUUUUUCAUGAUCCUUAAAAACACGCAGAUUCCAUAUCAAACAAACUUAAGAGUACCCAGAAUCCUCCAUUAUGAUAUAGAAUAUAUACAACCUUUACUCAGAAAAGACUGGCUUUGCUUGGUUAUGUGUAUAAAAAGUAAUUUCCAAAACAUAUAUAGACUAGAUAUCAAGUAUGAAAAGUGUAUGUUUAUUGAUUAUGUGAGAAGAUACAAGAUUGUUAAGGGGUAUUGAUUAACAAGAAUAUUGAGGUUAAAGGUUCGUUAUCAAAGAAUUCGGAUCCCCCUCCUCUCGUUUUUGAUCUUUAUUUAUAGGUUUUGAGAGGUGAUCUUAAUGGCUACGCAAUUUUUGACGGGUAUUGGGUGCCAUAGUGAUCAUCUUUAAUGCUUUGAAUUUUGUUUAACUCUUGUUUGACUGUAUUACCUCAGCAUGGACCGUCUCAUAGCUCAGGAUAUGCCUAUUUCAUGAGUCUUACAUCUUCUUAUAGCCCGAGUGACACUGGAUUGGACUCUCUAAUCAGAUUUGAAUUGGAGUGAAACUCACCUUUAAUAUAGAUGUUUAUAAGAUGAAAUUACAAGAGUGAUGAUGCAGAACCUAUGACUUAAGGGUCUAACCAACUCAUAAAUGUGAAAACAAGAUGGAUAAAUAGAGAUUUUCAGCAAUGUCAAAAAAAAAUAAUAGAAGAUUUAGCGAAAAAAUGGCUUAUUCAUUAUAUAUAAUUUUAGUCGUAAUUCAUAUAAGAACAAACAUAUUGUACCUGAGCUCUUAAAAUAUUCAAAUAUAACACAUAAAUUUUAAGUUUAGUACUUAACUGAGUUGAUCUAAAUAAAAAUUAGUCAAACAUACGUAGUUUUAAAAAUAAAUUAUUUUUAUAUAAUAUAUGAGAUUCACAUCCACUGAAACAAAUCUUUACCAGUUAAACUACUAUUUUUGGUUGGGAUUAUGGUUAAAACAUAUUUAUAAAUUUUGUCAUCAUUUGCUGACGACAUUUAAUGUGUGUUUAACCGUAAUACAAAUAUAUUAUACUUAACCCAAUCUGAGCAGUUAAGAAAUUCAAAUAUAACGAAUAAAUUUUAACUUUAGUGCUUAAUUGAGUUGAUAUAAAUAGAAAUUAGUCAAACAUACAUAGUUUUAAAAUAAAUUGUUUCUUUACAAAAUAUGAGGAUUUAAGCCAAUUAAAACAAACUUUCACCAUUCAAGCUACCAUGUUUGGUUGGUAUUAUGGUUAAAAGACAUUUAUUAAUUUUGUCAUUAUUUACUGACAACAUUUAAUGUGUUUUAAACAUAAUACAAACAUAUUGUACUUUACUCAAUCUGAGCAGUUAAAAGAUUCAAAUAUAACAAUUUUUUUUAACUUUAGUGCUUAACUGACUUGAUCUAAAUGAAAUUAGUCAAAGAUACGUAAUUUAAAAAAUAAAAUGUUUUUAUAUAAUAUAUGAGAUUCAAAUCCAGUGAUUCAAAUAUUUACCAGUUAAACUACCAUGUUUGGUUAGUAUUAUAGUUAAAACAUAUUUAUUAUUUUUGUUAUCAUUUGACGACAUUUAAUGUGUUUUAACCAUAACACAAACAUAUUGUACUUUUACUCAAUCUGAACAGUUAAAAGAUUCAAAUAUAACGAAUAAAUUUUAACUUUAGUGCUUAACUGAGUUGAUCUAAAUGAAAAUUAGUCAAACAUAGGUAGUGUUAAAAACAAAUUGUUUCUUUACAAAAUAUGAGGAUUCAAAUCCACUGAAAACAAACUUUUACUAGUCAAGCGAGACAAUGUUUGAUUGGCAUUAUCGUUAAAACACAUUUAUUAAUAUAACUCAACCUGAGCAGUUAAAAUAUUCAAAUAUAACACAUAAAUUUUAAUUUUAGUGUUUAACUGAGCUGAUCUAAAUAAAAAUUAGUCAAAUAUACGUAGUUUUAAAAAUAAAUUGUUUUUAUUAUAAUAUAUGAGAUUCAAACCUACUGAAACAGUGUUUACCAGUUAAACUACCAUGUUUGGUUGGUAUUAUGAUUAAAACAUAUUUAUUAAUUUUGUCUUCAUUUGCUGACAACAUUUAAUGUGUUUUAACCACAAUAUAAACAUAUUGUAGUUUACCCAGUCUGAGCAGUUAAAAGAUUUAAAUAUAAUAUUUUUUUUAACUUUAGUGUUUAAUUGAGUUGAUCUAAAUGUAAAUUAGUGAAACAUACGUAGUUUUAAAAAUAAAUUGUUUCUUUACAAAAUAUGAAGGUUUAAGUCAAUUAAAACACUUUUACAGGUCAAGCUACCAUGUUUGGUUGGUAUUAUGGUUAAAAAACAAUUAUUAAUUUUGUCAUUAUUUGCUUGACGACAUUUAAUGUGUACUAAACAUAAUACAAACAUAUUGUACUUUACUCAAACUGAGCAGCUAAAAGAUUCAAAUAUAACGAAUAAAUUUUAACUUUAGUGCUAAAUUGAGUUGAUCUAAAUGAAAAUUAGUCAAACAUACGUAAUUUUAAAAAUAUUUUUUUUAUAUAAUAUAUGAGCUGGAAACCCAGUGAAACAAAUAUUUACCAGUUAAACUACCAUGUUUGGUUAGUAUUAUAGUUAAAACAUAUUUAUUAAUUUUGUCAUCAUCUGAAGACAUUUAAUGUGUUUUAGCCAUAACACAAACAUAUUAUAAUUUUACUCAAUCUGAACAAUUAAAAGAUUCAAAUAUAACGAAUAAAUUUUAACUUUAGUGCUUAACUGAGUUGAUCUGAAUAAAAAUUAGUCAAACAUACGUAGUUUUAAAAACAAAUUGUUUCUUUACAAAAUAUGGGGAUUCAAACCCACUGAAACAAACUUUUACUAGUCAAGCGAAACAAUGUUUGGUUGGCAUUAUGGUUAAAACACAUUUAUUAAUAUAACUCAACCCGAGCAGUUAAAAGAUUCACAUAUAACACAUAAAACUUUAGUGCGUAACUGAGUUGAUCUAAAUGAAAAUUACUCAAACAUAGUUUAAAAAAUAAAUUGUUUUUAUAUAAUAUAUGAGAUUCAAACCUACUGAAACAAUCCUUACCAGUUAAACUAUCAUGUUUGGUUGAUAUUAUGGUUAAAACAUAUUUAUUAAUUUUGUCGUCAUUUGCUGACAACAUUUAACGUGUUUUAACCACAAUAUAAACAUAUUGUAGUUUACCCAAUCUGAGUAGUUAAAAGAUUUAAAUAUAACGAUUUUUUUUUUUAACUUUAGUGUUUAAUUGAGUUGAUAUAAAUGGAAAUUAGUCAAACAUAUGUAGUUUUAAAAAUAAUUUGUUUCUUUACAAAGUAUGGAGAUUUAAGCCGAUUAAAAAAACUUUUACCAGUUAAGCUACCAUGCUUGGUUGGUAUUAUGGUUAAAAGACAUUUAUUAAUUUGUCAUUAUUUGUUGACGAAAUUUAAUGUUUUUUAAACAUACUACAAAUUUAUUGUACUUUAUUCAAACUGAACAGUUAAAAGUUUAAGAUAUAACACAUUAAUUAUAACUUUAGUGCUUAAUUGAGAUGAUCUAAAUGAAAAUUAAUCAAAUAUACGUAGAUUUAAAAACAAAUUGUUUCUUUACAAAAUAUGGUGAUUCAAAUCCACUGAAACAAAUUAUUACUAGUUAAGCGAGAUAAUGUUUGUUUGGCAUUAUGGUUAAAACACAUUUAUUAAUUUUGUCAUCAUUUGCUGAGGACAUUUAAUGUGUUUUAAACAUAAUACAAACAUAUUGUACUUACUCAAUCUGAACAAUUAAUAGAUUUAAAUAUAACAAAUAAAUUUUAACUUUAGUGCUUAAUUGAGUUGAUCUAAAUGAAAAUUAGUCAAACAUACAUAAUUUUAAAAUAAUUUUGUUUUAUAUAAUAAACUAGUGUUUGCCCUGUGCUACGCACAGGAAAAAAAAAUCUUACUAAAAUAAACACAUUUAUUUUUUCUUACUAAAAUAAACACAAUGGCUUUAACAUAUAAGUUUAACAUGUAUUAAAAUUAAAUUUUUGGGUUAAAAGUGUACUAAACCACAUAGAUCAUCUCUUAAUAUUUUUAGGUGUCAAGAGAUGACAAAGAAUGUUAUAUAUAUUUGCAUAGUCAUAAAUUAUGUAUAAUAUACAUCUAGAAAAUAAUAACAAUUUACGGCAGUAAUAAAUUAAAAUAUCUUUGUUUACAUAUUACUUUAAUCUCCUCUACACAAAACACUUCCGAUAUGCUAUCAUCAAUCUUCACAUUAAUAAGGUAAGAAAUUAAGUUAUUAAGUUCAAGAAAUUAGAGAUCGUGUGUUCAUUUUCUUUAGAGACAGUUUGUUUAUUUUUAAGACUGUUUUAUUUUGCGAUAGAUUCAGAUUUUUUUUUAUGUUGAUAACUAUCAAAUUCUAUGAUUUUAAUGUCGAUGAUUUACCCCUUCAGCCACCUCUGACGUUAUAGUGAUGAUUCAUCAAAUCUUGAGUUGAGUGGAAUUGCAAGUCUUUGUCAUCUUCUUUCACAUUUGUUCUCUCCAUCUAUAGCAAAAAUGUAAAAGAAUCUUUUAAAACAUAAUUGACAAAAAGAUAGAAAACUGAUAUUUAUAAAUUAAUAAGCAAUAGGUUACGUAGUAGUGAUUAUGGUUGCACAAUGCACAUGGGUAAUAAAUAUAAACGUAAACGUUAUAUUAUUGUUGCAGGACUAUGAAACACUUACUUCUUCCUUUUGAUAACGUGAUGUACCUCUUUAUUUUGAUAAUUCAACCUCAAAUGAAAUGUAAAAAAAAAAGUUUGAAGGAUUUUGUUUGUUAGAGAUACAACGUAGAAGAAAGUGGAGAUGAUUUGAUACUUAUACAGGAGAUGAAGAAAACAGUUUCAGAGGAGGAUGUGAGUUAACGUAGGUAACUUUUAUUGAGAAAAAAUAGGAAUAUAGGUAGUUACAAAUUUUUUUUUUUGAACAAAAGGUAGUUACAAAUUUAAAUUGCAUAAAAAUAAGAGAUAAAAACAAAUCAAUUAAUUUUUUACAACUUUUCCACGUGGUAUUAUUUUAUUUGUCAGGCGACUUGCGCUUUAGUAUAUAAGGGAUGAGAUUUAAACCCACCGAACAAAUCUAUGCCAGUUAAACUACCAUGUUCGGUUCUUAUUAUGGUUAAAACAUAUUUAUUAAUUUUGUCGUCAUUUGCUGACGACAUUUAAUGUGUUUUAACCAUAACACAAACAUAUUGUAGUUUAUCUAGUCUGAGAAGUUAAAAAAUUCAAAUAUAACUAUUUUUUUAAUUUAAUGCUUAAUUGAGUUUCAAAAUGGAAAUUAGUCAAACAUACGUAGUUUUAAAAAGAAAUUGUUUCUUUACAAAAUAUGGAGAUGUAAGCCGAUUAAAACAAACUUUUACUAGUUAAGCUACCAUGUUGGUUGGUAUUAUGGUUAAAAGAUAUUUAUUAAUUUUUGUCAUUAUUUGCUGACGAUAUUUAAUGUGUUUUAAACAUAACAUAAUACAACCAUAUUGUACUUUACUCAAUCUGAGCAGUUAAAAAUUGAGACAUAACACAUAAAUUUAAAUUUAGUACUUAACUGAGUUGAUCUAAAUAAAAAUUAGUCAAACAUACGUAGUUUUAAAAACAAAUUGUUUCUUUACAAAAUAUGGGGAUUCAAACCCACUAAAACAAACCUUUACCAAUUGAACUACUAUGUUUGGUUGGUAUUAUGGUUAAAACAUAUUUAUUAGUUUUUUUCAUCAUUUGCUGACGAAAUUUAAUGUGUUUGAAACAUAAUUCAAACAUAUUGUAAUUUACUCGAUCUGAACAGUUAAUAUAUUCAAAUAUAACGAAUUAAUUUUAACUUUAGUGCUUAACUGAGUUGAUAUAAAUAGAAACCAGUCAAACAUACGUAGUUUUAUAAAUAAAUUGUUUCUUUAUAAAAUAUGGGAAUUCAAACCCAUUAAAACAAAAAAUUACUAAUUAAGCUACCAUAUUUGGUUGAUAAUAUGGUUAAAAUACAUUUAAUGUGUUUAAAACAUUAUACAAACAUAUUGUACUUUACUUAAUCUAAUCUAUUAAUUUAGGAUCCUAUUUUUUUAUCUAUCAUACAAAAAGUCUAUGUUAGACCAUUCAUUAGAAACUUAACUAAACAUUCUAAAUUUACUCAUAUAUGAUAUUUUCGUAACAAUUUACUCAUAUAUGAUAUUUUUCUAACAAAAAUAAUAUACAUCUAAAUAAUAACAUUUCUAAGACAAGAAAGAUAUAUUUCUAUUAGACAAUUAUUGUUUGAUUGUUUAUCAUGUUUAGCCUAGACCAUAUUAUAUAUAUAUAUAUAUAUCAGUAAUUAAUUUUGAAAUUAAAUGGUGUAGCCCAAUUAUUUUUAAAUUAUCAUAUUAACUUUUUAUAUAAAACAAAAGAAAUAAUAUUUUAUUGGCUGUAACAUUUUUUUUUUGUUUUUUUUGUAGUAUAAAUAAAAAAACCAAACUGAAAUAUUAUAUAUGAAAUAAAAUAAUAUUUUAAAAUAUAAUAUUAAAUAAUUUAAUUUAAUUUAGUUUUAUCAAAAAAAAAAAUAAUUAAUUUAGUCACACACAAACAUUUCGAAAAUAAAAAUUUCUGAACCAAAAAGUCUAAUACAAUUUGUAUUAAUUCAUAUAAAACUAAUAUUUAAAUUUAAAAAAAAAACAAAAAUUUUAUGUACAAUUUCAUCAAAAACAAAUUUCAACAAAGAAAAAAAUUUCAAAAUAAUAUUAUAUACAUAAGAAUUGAUAUUAAAUAUAUAUAUAUAUAUAUAUCUAUAACUUAUUUUAUAUUUUAAAUGUUAUUUAAAAAAAUAAAAUAUAUCCGCACAUAAUAUAUCCGCACAUAUAUGCGGGUUUAAAUCUAGUUUUUACUUAAUUUGAGCAGUUAAAAAUUUCAGAUAUAAAUAAAUUAUUUAUUUACAAAUACGGCGAUUCAAACUCACUGAAACAAUUAUUUACUAGUUAACCUACCAUGUUUGGUUGGUAUUAUGGUUAGAACACAUUUAUUUAUAUUCGUCAUUAUUUGUUGAGGACGUUUAAGGUUUUGCGUAGAUAUAUGAACAUGGUAUUUGAACCCACAAGCUCUAACUCUAAUAGUUGAGCCUAUACCAAUUGGGCUGUUAUAUCUUUUGGUAAUAAUGUAAAUUGAAUUUGUUUACAAUACUGUAGAUUGCAGUUUUUUAGUAAGUUGUCUUUCUUCCUUUUUAGUUCGUUUUCAUCUGGUCAGAAAAGAAAAAAGUGGAAAAUGAAUUAAUAAUACUUUCUGGAAAAAAAACUGAGAAGCAAGAAAAAUAACUAACCAAAAUUACACUUAACAAUAUUAUAUAAAAAUUAUAAAUGAAUUUGAUUUAUAUUAGUACAAAAUAAUACAGGAGUUUAAUUGGUAUAGGUUCAACUAUUAGAUCUAGAGAUAGAGAUGGCGGGUUCGAACCCAUCUACUAAAAAUUAUACACUUUUUUCUUAAAUUAGGCUAUCUAUGUUUUUUUUUUCUUUUUGUUUAUUAGGAGGAGUUUGGGUUUGGACUCUAGUCUCUCUUAUGGUCCAAAGUUGGCCUUUACUGAUACCAUUUAUGACGUAAACAAUUCCUUUCAUUUCGAACCAAGAGCGCAACCAAACAGGCCUCCCACGUCCGGUGGUGGCUAUCCUUAAGUCUGGGACUUAUUAUCUGAGAUCCGGAUUCGAUCCGAGAUCCGCUCCGGAUCCGCUCCGAAAAUAAGAUAUUCGGGAUGUCCGGACGAAUCCGGAUAGUAAAAUCUUGGAUCUGUCCAAACCGAAUCCGAAUCCGGAUAUUUUAAUUUUUAGGUCCGGAUAUCCAGAUCCGGAUCUGUAUUUUAAAAAUAUAUUAAAUUUUUAAAUUUUCAUUAAUAUUUAUAUUUGAUAUAUUAAUAUUUAUACAUGAAUUAAUCUUAUAAUAUUAAAUUUUAGAUUUUACAAUAUUAUAGACAUAUAUAAAUAUAUUUAUAAAUAUUUGAUUUAUGUAUUAUAUUUUAAAAAUUAGUAUUUAAAAAAAUAUUAUUUUAAAUUAUUUUUAUGGAUCUGGAUCCGGAUAUCCGCGGGUAAUAGAAUAUUGGGACGGAUAUCUAAAAUCCGGAUAUCCGAAAACCACGAAUCCGAAUUCUGAUAUCAAAUUCACGGAUCCGACAGAUCCAAAUACCCCAAAUUUCUCGGAUAUCCGGAUCCGUCUCAGGCUAUGUUGACGGAUGAAAUAUCUUAUAUGGAUUAUGUGUCAUUACAAUAUAUUGUAACCUUUUUUUUUCUUUUUUUGAAAAACAAUAUAUUGUAACUUUAUUGGAGACCUCAAAGCCAACGCACAUAAUAUUGCAACUUAACUAGUACAUCGGCAUUGUCCACACACAUUACCAUAAAUCACAAAUCAUUAAAGAGUUAAGCGAUCCAAAUCCAUGCAGACACACUUGAAAAGUACAAAAUAAGCAAAAACACACUUGAAAAGUACAAAAUAACAAAGCCUUUUUUUUUCUGGUUUGCUUUUAUAUAUCAAACAAACCCUAGUGACCUGUUGGAGAAGAAUCAGGCUGGCUAACAGAGGAGGACUUUGAUGCUUCCAUCAUGAGAGCUGCUUGUUCUAAACAACUCCUGUUAUCAUCAUUCCCAUUCUCCACUUCCUCUUUCGUGUAUAAAUGUAUCUUCAACACCACACUGCAGAAAUCACUGUCCCCACACAGCACAAAUAAAAUCAUUUUCAAGUUGUGAUUGAGCUUUUAGAAGACAUGGAAAAAGAAAACUUACUGCCAUGGAUCAUCACCAACGACCAUCAUAUCGUUCUCACUAUCAGUGUACAAGAUCCUCCAUCCUUUUUCAGGAUCCCUGAGAAGCCCUUCCAUGUUGAAGAGGCGUUCAAGCUCGGUAAGGAGAUCAUUGUAUCCGUUUAGUCGUGACAAAUCAAUAGCUCUCCCCACCAGGCUUCCUUGCUUGUGAACCUUACACAAGAAAUCAUAAUACAUAAGAGACACAUCUAGAAAUGCAGCUCCCAAGAAAAAGAGAUGAUGUUUACCUUUGUACAGAUCCUUUUGCUUGAGCUUUGCUGGUUUGAUGCAGGUGUCCCCACAGGUAAGGAGAAUCCAAAAAGCUUACAACCUGUAGUCGAAGCAUUCAUAUUAACCUCUCUGCCUUUCUCUGUUCCCAUCAUAUCAAUCUUCGGUAGGCCACCAUCUUCACCCUGUGCAUCAAACUUUCUACUAGAAGGGUGACUCAAAGAUUUGUCUCCAGCACUCUGAUAUGGAAUAUGAGAGCUCCUAAUCCCUUGGGACGCUAGUGGAUAGAAACUCGUCUUGUUGGCUUGAUAAGCAAAGGCACCAUUGUAUCCAAGACUAGCUUUUCCUGGACUGAGACCAGCUAUUUGAGGGAAUGACCGAAGUGAGCAAAUUUCUUGACCUUGCAAGACCCUUGGAAACCUAUCCAGGUCCAGGGACGUAGUGUCUACAAACUCACCAAACCGAUCCUUCACUCUACUUGAUAAAAGAAGUGGAUUAGCAUGGGACUGCUGCAUCCCAGCAAAAUCCAGUAUCCGUCGGUUCAUAACAUCAAAACCUUGUAAAGGUGAUGAUGAUGUUGCAGAACCUAUAUUUUCUUGACCUUGCAAGACCUUAGAGGGUCUAACUGACUCCUCAAAGUCCAAAAAACCACCCCUUUCUGCUUUCAAACCAAUAACAGUUUAUCAAUUCAUCAGCACCACUGAAGAAAGUUAAGAGAUGUGUGUUUUAUUUACCGGUUAUGGGGUUUCCUUGUGGAGUAGUAGUACCCAGUAGACCUGCCCAAGGCCUUUUGGGCCUUGGAGAUGACUGAAUGCUUAAAGGUGGGAGAGAACCCGAAGGAUCAAUCUCCCAAGGGGAAACUCUUUCUUGGUGAUCACUCAUAAAAGACUCAUCCCAACGCACCUACCAAACAUAUGUGUGGUCUUGGAUUAUCAAAAAAAGCUUGUAGACAUGUUAAAAGAUAGAAACAUCAAAUAAAUGAGGAAGGACUCACCAACAAGCACCUCCAUUUAGAGUUAGGCCACCUAUAAGGAUCCAUGUCACAGACUCCAGUCACUACACCAGCACAUCUGCAAGAAAAAGCAGCGUUAUCUUCCAAGAAAACUAGCAACAGCACAAAGAAAGAAGUAAGAUAGUAAUAAUAAUAAUAAUAAUACCUUCUCUCAGGAGAAUCGUCCAUUUCAAACCGCAUUCUGAACCUUGUGCCUAUGCAAAUGGGAUUCUUGAUGCUCGUGAUAUACUUCUCAUAAGGAAUCACAAACUCUGAGUGAGUAGCUCUGCAUAUAAACCCAUGAAUCAACGUUAUAACCUUUAAAAGCAAGUUAAGAUUCAUUACUAAUGGCAAUUUUCAUUCUAUGUUUACCGUGGACUGUAGAACACAUGAAACAUGCUUUUGUUAGAUACAGCAUUAGCCACAAGAGAGAGGAUGCUGGAAGAUGAAUACUUCUGAAUGAUUGAAUCAGGAAGUCCGUUUCUUGGCCGUGCAGAUCUUCUGAUUCCUAACCUCAGCUCUCCAUUUUCAUCUCUAGAAACGCAGUAUGUUAGACAUGAGUUUACCUCAGAAAGAAACUCAAACCGCUAAAAGAAGAGGGAAACACAUCAGGGUCUGAUAAACUGAAAGGUUAUGGUUACCUCAGAAAGAGAACAGCAUCACCAGAGACAAGACUCUUUUGACUAACAAAGAUACUCCAACCAGUGGUGAGCAGAUGCCUCCUUGGUUGACCUAUAUUACCAAAGAGACAGAACUUAACAUUUGUGCUUCACUGACAAAAAAAAGAAAGAAACAACUCCCACCUCUAUAGAUAUGCCGAAACUUCCACUCUACUCCAUGGAGAUCCUUUGCAAUGAGCUCUUGAGAUGGUCUCUGCUGCUUGUAGUCCUAACAUCAGUGAAAAAAUCAGAAGUAAGACUUGUAGCAAGAAGGGCACACACACCCCUCUCGGGAGGAAAAAAAGAAAGAAAGAAAAUGAGGUUUAAGAGAGCCAUACAAGAGGAGCGAAACAGUCUUCAGCAGCUCUUCUAGGUACGGAGAAGCCUCCAUGGGUGCUUGUGUCAGAAGCUGUUAAGGUCUUGCAGAACAUGUGAGGUGUUUUUUUGACAGAUGAGCUUCCGUUCUUCUCUUCAUCCCCUCCUAACUCCCUGACCUCUUUGCCUUCCCCAUUUAGCACUGAUAACUAUAAUACCAAAAGAUGUUUCAUUCAACAUAUCAUCCUCACUGAAGACCAAACAAACUCUUCUACAGUAGCAUCUAAAUCUCACCUAUAAUUUCAAAUUACACUAUUGAUAUCAGAUUACUCUACUUCCAAUGGGAUAGGAUGCUUUGUACAGACACAACAUAUGAGUUUGCUUCUUCCAAACAUAAAUUACAUUCUCAAAGAACCAGCAGUUCAGUAAAAAAAGAGCUACCUCUUGCAGUGGAAGCAGAGUGACUUGAGUAUAGACCUCAUCAGUUUCCUUAUUAGCCUUUUCUCCCACAAAAGAAACCAAAAUUUUAAACCAAUUACCACAAUUAGGACUUGUUCAAUAAUAGUAAAGAGUAACACAAAAGGAAUGUUUUUUUAGCUAAAUGAUUAAGACAGGGCUUACAAGCAAGUGAACAUUAGCCACUCUGCAGAAGAUUUGAGGACUGAGAUCAAGUUUAGGGAUAUCAAGAGGAGAUGAAUAUGAAACCAUAGCGCCUUGCUCCAAAUGACCCUGUGGGAAAUACACAACUACAUUGCCUUUCUUGGGAAGAGAAGUGAGAGGACCAGCACAAGCAUGCCACAGCUCAGAGUAUAUGGAGGAAGCAGAAGCUGUAGUAGAAGAUGAUGAUGAACCAGAAGAGCAUGAAGAAGAUGAUGACGGUGAAACUCCAAGCCUCUUACCCUUAUCAUUCUCCUCUUCCUCCACCUCCGCAAACUCAGUAUUCAAGUCAAACUCCAUGGAGACAAAUUAAAAAAAAAAAGAAAAAGAUUGCUUUUUGGAAUCAAAUUACAACAAAACAAGUAAAACCCAUCAAAGGAAAGUUUGCAAAAUUCUUGCUUGAAGUGACAGAAGCCCUCUCCUCGUUUCAGGUUAGAUUUCACAGGAAAGAAGAAGAAGCAAACUGAAUGUUUUCAAUUGAUGUGAAAGAUGAGAGUAUAUAAGAUUGUGGAAGCAAGAGUUAGAGAGAGAGAGAGAGAGAGAGGGAGAAGGGGAAAGGGCAUCAAAUGAGAAGGAGGGUUUCAAAGUAAGAUUCGUCUUCCUCCAUUUGCAGGUACUGAGAAGAGGGAGCAGAAGGAACAGACAUAAGAUAGAUUGCAGAUGAUAAAAGAAAAAUAUAUUAAAGAAAAGUAAAUUUAGAGAAAAUAAAGUGAAGUAAAAGCCAAGAGGGAGAGAGAUAAGCGGGGGAGACAAAAGCCAAGACAGGACAGAACCCACACACCUGCACUCUCUUUCGCCUUCUUCUUACUUUAUUAUUUUCUUUUCUUUUCUUUUCUCAAUUAAAUAAAUAAAUAUUCAUUCACCUAAAUAGAUUUAUCAACAAAACUAUAUUUAUAUUAAUAUACACACACGUUUGCACCCAAAAAAAGUUUACAUUUCUUUGCUAAUUACUUCCAAUUUUGGUUAAAAUAAGAUAUGUUGCUAUUAAGAAGCUUGAGAUUAGCUUAAACUAUUCCACUAAUCGUCUGAUUUUUUCUGCUUCAAAUUUUGUGGAUGAAUCUACUCUUUUAAUCAUCUCUCUAGAUAUUAUCCACUAAUUGUUUAAUUUAACUGUUUAAUAUUAUGACAUCUUAAUUGAUUUUAGCUUUUUUUAAAUGCUUAGCUUUUCAAGAAUUAAAAAAAAAACACAAAUUGAUUUAAAUUUUUGCAAAGGAAACAGUAUCUCUUUGGAAUCUAUAUUUGUUCUUUCUUUACUGAUUAUGUAUUAAAUUUUUUUAUUCUAAAAUUUUGAUCAACUUUUGCUAUUACUUUUUUGUUCUUUUUAAUUGCGUUGUUAAGAGCCAACCAACCAGCUAAAGACAGAAGACUAGGCUCCUUUCAAUUUUGUAUCAAAAGCACUUUUCUCUCUUUGUUAUUAAUUAAACAAUACAAAAGAAAACUUUUCAGAGUGUUAAAAUCUAGGGAAUUUGCACUAGAUAACAAAUAAAAGGAUAUAAAUUAGCUAAUAGGUAAUGGUACUGUAUAAAUUGUGGUAAUACCAAGCGUGUCCCUAAUAUACAAUCUGUUACACGUUACACGUGAGCUGAACACACUGUUUAUUACCACAAAUGCAAAGAACUGAGGAGAGAAAGAGAGAGAGAGUGUGUGAUAAUAAUGCAAAGAAUCAAGAAUGCUCAACUACUAUUUUUCUUUCCUGCAAAAACCCAAAGCGUUUAGAUACAUUUAUAUGUUAAAGAUCGUCUCGUUUUAAAAAGUUAAACUCAUUCUCUAGUUGUGUCUAAAAUUUAUAGAAUUUAUAACCGAUUACUGAUUCCAAUAUGAACUUCAUGCAACAUAUGUGUCUAAUAUAGGAUCGCAAUAAUUAAUUUCUCCUAAAUCUGGUUUCAAUAUGUAUGUACGCCAACUAUGUCAAAUAAUAACCGGUUGCUCCUAAUAUACGACCUGUUACACGUUAUACGUGAGCUGAACACACUGUUAAUUACCACAAAUGCAAAGAACUGAGGAGAGAAAGAAAGAGAGAGAGAGUGUGAUAAUAAUGCAAAGAAUCAAGAAUGUUCAACUACUAUUUUUCUUUCCUGCAAAAACCCAAAGCACUUAGAUACAUUUUAUAUGUUAAAAGAUCGUCUCGCUCUAAAAAGUUAAACUCAUUCUCUAGUUGUGUCUAAAAUUUAUAGAAUUUAUAACCAGUUAUAGGUCUGAUGUUUCGGUUUUAUAGAAUUUAUAACCGGUUACUGAUUCCAAUAUGAACUUCAUGCAACAUAUGUGUCUAAUAUAGGAUCGCAUUAAAUUAUUGCUCCUAAAUCCGGUUUCAAUAUUUAUGUACGCCAACUAUGUCAAAUUAUAACCGGUUUUCUACAUAUAUUGCUCUUUCUUUCCACUUGCAAUCAAAAUACAUUUUGUUUUUCAACCCCGGUAACAGGUAAACAUUUUCGUCUCAGUUCGAAGAGAAUAUUGGCAGCACAGCACAAUUGUUACAUGGUUAUACAAAUAUUUAAAAAUAAUGCAUAGAUCUGCAAUUACCACAAGAAAUUUGUAUAUUCAGCUAAAUAAGCCUAAAAUCUAUAUCAAAUAAGCACACCAACUUAUUCAGUAAUUUCUACUAAUAUACUACUAUUUAUUAAGAGAAAAUUUGGAACUGAAAUAUAAGUUUGUUUUAGUGGUUUAUUUAACAAUAUUAUAAUUUGAAAGGAAAAAUAUGGAAUAUUAAAAUUUCUUAAAGCCAUUUUGGAUGAACUUUUGCUUAUUUUUAAUGCGGGGGAUAUUGGGAGUUUUCAUAUAGGAUUGGUUAGUAAAUGGUUUAGUUUUUUUUUAUCAAACAAAUGGUUUAACCUUUUUUUUGUCACUGGCAAAUGGUUUAACUUAAGGUUUAUUUGCUAAAUAGCCAAAAAAAGUGAAAUUAGAUUUUGAGAGAGAAUGUAGAGAGAAAAUAGAAAAAAGAGAGUGUUUUUAGUUAAUUAGUGAAUUUUUUUUUUUUUGUCUACUGGAUGCAAUCUCCCUUAACUUAUUUAGUGUUUUUAGUUGCUUUGUUGAUAAGAAAAUAACAAAAACAAAAAGGAUGAUGGGAUGGGAGAGGGAGGAAGAAUGAGUCUCUUCUGAGUUCUGAAUGACUGAGUGAGUCCCAACAACUAACAAUAACCCCCCUUGAUAUUUGCUGCCCUUUGGUCCCACAUUUUCUCAUUUUCUCCUCUUCUUUUUGUUGCUGGGCAACUAAUUCUCAAAUUAGCCUAAUAUCUCUAUUUUUCUUUAGUACUUAAUUAUUAUUCUAAUUUGAUUAGAAAUAUAUCUUAUUUAUUCUAAUACUACAUCACAACUCGAAACGUGUAAUUCUCUUUAUCAAGCCUUCUAAAACUAGCUUAAUAUUCUUUCUUUUGUACUUAAUUACUAUUCUAAUUUGAUUACAAAUAUAUCUUAUUAAUUCUAAUAACUCGAAACGUGUAAUUCUCUUUAUUGUUCCUUCUAAAUUAGCUCAAUGUUCUUUCUUUUCCUUUAGUACUUAAUUAUUAUUCUAAUUUGAUUACAAAUAUAUCUUAUUUAUUCUAAUAUUACACCAUAGUUCGAAACGUGUAAUUCUCUUAAUCUUAGUGAUACGAUCACCAUAUUAUUCUGUCUGCUACUCAUAACUUUCUAGUCAAAAUAUUAUCAUUUAUUUGUGAAAAAAGAAGGGAUCGGAUCAUAUCAUUUCCAUGCUUCUUUCUUUACUAAAGUCACAUUUGCUUACAAUUUUUUUUUAAAAAUUGCUUACAAGGCUAAUAUUAAAAUUAAUAUAUAUAGUUUGGUGCAUCUAUUUCAUUUCAUAUAUUUUAAUGCAACCUGUAAACAAAUAUGAUUGGAUUUGUUUUUUUAAUUCCUUCUUAAAAUAGAAACAAUUACUAUUAAAUUCUAGUUCUAGUAAACAAUAUUAAUAUUGGAUUAUAGUAAAUCUAUAUGUAUGUGUAGUCUAGUCUCAUCUAAUAAAUACUCAUAAAAUACGUGACUGUGAGAUUUAUAUAAUAUUCUAUUUGAAAUAUGAAAAUAAAUGUAAUUCGUUACAAUUGUUUUUCUUAAGUAAAUUGUUCUCAACGAUAUUGGUUUUCUCGGUGAAAUGUUCUAAUAUUAUGCUAGAAGACAAUUUGGUUAGAACCACUUACAAAUAAACAUUAUUGGUGAAAAUGAUUCUGCAUGUUUCUACUAUUGGUACUUCGUAGUUCGUACCCAUUGCUUUGUGUUGUCAUUGUAUUUAUAUUUUAUCAGGUUAGAUUUAAAUGCAAUGUUUUUUUUUUUUGCAGAUGUUAGAUGUAUAGUUUAAGCUAAUAUAAGAUAGCUGACCAAAAGAAUAGCUAAUAUAUAAGAUAUACAAUCCGUUUAGCAUGUGUUCUUAUAGAUUUCGACGGCCAAUAUUUAUGGAUGCAUAACAUCAAACAAAACAAAAAUAAUUAAUAAAGAUUUUUAAAUGCCACAAGAUAUAGAUUAUUAUAUUAGAAAAAAUCUAUUAUGUUUUUACAGAGAAAUAUAAAGAAAAAGGAAAGACAGUGGUGGAUAAUUAGGAGACGUCGUGUCAAAAAAAAAUUGUCGUGAAAACGACAAAGCAACGCCAAUGACUUUAUUAAAGUCACAAGUGUCUCUGUAUCAAUACGAUUAAAGACACUCCUCGCUUCCUCCCUCACUCAUUUUAUAAUUAUUUUCUGUAAGAAAUUUAUGACUUUUCCUUUUUACAUGUUAUAGUAAAUUGCGGUUCCGCAUUAAACCAUGGCAAAUAGUGAAUUUGAACUCAAUAGUAUGUAAAUUGUAAAACUUACGCUACACAAACAUUUAGCAUUUUAGGACUGGUUGUGGUAGGUCUAGAGUCUACACAGGUGAAAUUUGUAAAUUGGAAUUUUGUGUGUUUGCAACCGUUCUCGAAGCUAUGCUCGAUUGAUCUCUAUAAUAAACGAAAAUACAGCCAGCCCUAAAAAUGACCUAAGCUUUGAGCGUAGUAUAUAUCAUCUCUCUACAAUUAUAUAUACACGCAUAUCAUGUAAGUGAAACGAUAUUUAUAGCACACGAUUUUACUUUUGUGUAGUUACUAUAUCAAACGCAUAAUAUAAAUAUGAGUAUAGAUCCUUAAAAACUUUUGAAGCAUGUGAUAAGAAUAAUGAUAAUAUGUUUUGUUUGUUUCUUAGUCGAUUACUAAGUAAAGCACUACUUUGUAGAAGAUUAGACAUGUUGAAUUUGACUAAAAAACGUUGAUUAACCAUAAGAUAAGCUUACAGUACAGACAGUCGUUAAAACUUAAACAGGUUAGGUAGGAUUCAUAUAUCAACUUGUGAUAAGAAAAGCGGGUCCAUCAGAAAAAGGAAAAUUGUAGAGACAAAUGGUAUCCCAUAAGGAGAAAGCAAUUUGUCAAUUUGGAGCCUACGUUAAAGUUGGGUCCUAUUUUCUUCUUGUUUUUUCUGCUUUUAGUUAAAGGUUAUAAUAUAUAACAGAUAAAAAUGUGCAUUUGAGUGAAAGUUUCGACCUUAAAUAUAAAUUCAAACUUCCAGUACCAAACUCUACAUUCCCAGUUCCUUGUUAUAUAACCCUUUAUAAGAAUCUAAAAUCUCAUCAUCUUUUGAAUAUCCAUCUUUCCUAGUAUGGAUGAUUUGAUUUUACCAAAAAGUUUUACAAACCAGAAAGAAAAGAAAAGAAAAAACUGUAUUAUGAGGUUUUUGGAACAAACCAUUUGAACUGAGUUGAUGGAAUAUUAUUAAUUAAUUUGUACGAGUAAUUGUCGUCGAUAUCGAAUUAUUACAUUUCGUGUUUGGAUCCUCAUGUCUCUCUCAUGCCAACAUGAAGUUAUUUUAAACACUUUUGCUAUAUAUGUUGUUCUAAAGAUCUCAGUCUAGUAGCUAGCUUGACCCCAUUAAUAUGAAAUGUUACAAAUAAGAUAUUCAUAUUUUCAUGAACCAAGUAUGAAAACUUUGGUUCUUGGAAGUGAUCUCCAUCAUCUCUUAUGGGCCUAUGGAUCCUACUAGGCUAAAUGCGGGCCGAUUUCUCUAAAUUGAGUUCCUUGAUUGGGCAUUUUUCACGGACAAGUUAGUACAGCCUAUUUUGCCGUAUGUGGAAUCGGCUUUGACCUUGUUGUCGAUUUGGCUAAGAUAUUUCUUUUGUUAAAGUCUUAUGCUCUUUGUUGUCAAUUUGGAUUUUAUUCAGAUCCCUUUUGUAACCUUCGUUUACUGGUUAAUGGAAUGAAAGUGUUUAAAAAAAAUGAAUUUGACCAUUCAAUUAGAAGCUCUCAUGAAGGACACAACAUAACGCAUUCCCGGAAUUAGCACAUGCACCUUUGGAUUAUUUUAAGCUUCAUACAAAAUUAAUCUGAACCAAGAUCGAGGCUAAGUUUGAAAACAGAGAGCAAUUGAUUAGGAAGAAUCUUUACACAAUUAAGAUAAUAUAAUUCGUACUAUAUACAUUUCAAGACUUAAAACACAAAUUUCCACACAACCUGCCGAUGCGCCUCCACCGCCACCAAGCUUGCGGCGACGCAUGCCAGCCGUAGCGGCGGCGGAUCCACGAGGAGCAGCCAGACCGGGACGGGAGGCUGAGGAGGCGGUGGAGGUUGAUUGUUGGGACUGGGAAGAGCCUUUAGCCAUUCUUCUUGUAUUGGACGGAGAAGAGACAAAAUGUUUUUUUUUUAAGUCAAAUCUUUGGUGGUGGUGUAUAAUAGAAUGUUGAUGAAGAAGAGGAAGAGACGUGGGAGUUGCAGUAUGUAUAUAAACUACAUUAUAUAGAAUACUCCCAACGACUUUUUUUGGGCGGUAGUCACGGGAAGAUGAAUCUUGUUC